GUAUAUGUAAUAUGUUACUAUAUAAGCAAUGUGGCGUAUUAUAUAUUAAAUUUUUGUAAGAUAACCGAGUUGUAAACGUGGUGUAGUGGACACUAAUGUGGUUUGAUUCAAUUUAUCUAGAGUUUGAAAAGUGUUACGUUAAUUUUUUUAUUUUAUUUAAUAUUUCUUUUGUUUUUAGUGGAUGGUAGACUUGUAAAUAAGUCUUCUUCUUCAUCAGUUUCGUGAAACAGAAGAAGAUAGACGAUGCAGGAACAAGAUUCAACUUUAUUUUGUUUGGAACUCUCAAUCCCCUUUGGAUUUUGUCUCCACCUCUCACUUCUUCUCUUGAUUUCGUGACAAAUGCUUUGAUUAGGAUUCAGACCAAAGGAUCUUGGGCUUAAUUGCGUAAAACGUUUUGGAUCUAGGCGCCCGCGUUUCACAAAUACCCUGGAUAGGCGGAAACAAUUCGUCUUACCGCACAGAGCACCCGAUCAGACCUUUUUCGCCACGGCCAUGCUCCGCUUACCGUAUACGCGUCCGAGUAAUCGUCAACUCGCCCGCGUUUUCGAACACGGAUUACACCAUUCAAGAAGGACACUAAAAUAUUCAGAAUAAUUAUCUAUCAUCUUCGGAUACACUAGCAAGCAUCAGAUCAUGCAAAUCAAGUUAAAAAAUCAAUUAUAUAUGAUUUGGUAAAACAUUAGCAUAAACAUUAUACUAUUUAUUAUCCAAUCAACAAUUUUUAGAUUAGCAUUUAAAAAACAUUUACAAAAUGCUAAUGCUCUCUCCUCAAUGCUCUCAAAUGAAGCUUUUAGCAGAGCAUUUACAAAUAAAAUAGAUAGAAAAAUAAAAAAAGUAAUUACAUAUAAUUAAUUUAUUUUAUCAAAUAAUAUCCAAAAAUUAUGUUUAUAUCGAAAAAAAUAAAUUUAUAAUUUUAAAAAUAAAAUUUUCUAUUAAAAUGUAUUUAAUUUUUUUGAAAUAAUAAUAUUUUACAUUUAAAAUAUAAUAUCAUUUAUAUAAUUAUAUAUGAUUCACAAUCUAUAGUAACAAAACAUAGAACAACAUAUAUUUAUAUAUUAUCAAUAUCUAUAAUAUUAAUUUAGAAAUAAAAAAAUUAUAUACCAUAUAUUAAUUUUUAUGAUAAUUUUAUAUAUGAAUCAUUUACUGCUCUACCAAUCAUUUUAUUAAAUAUAUAAAUGAAAGCAUACUGCUUAUAUAUCAUACUACUAAUGAUUUAUCAUCACUUGCACCAAUCAAGGCCUAUGUGAAUAUUUUUGAUAUAUUUCUCCAACGGCCAUCUUUCCAUGAACCAGCAACAAAGCUUGGAAUCUCUUGAUCAUCUUGUGAUCUUAGAUCUGGUGGAUUUUAAUCUUAUAUCGCAAUGAAAUUACCCCUAAACAUAGUUUUUCGAUAAAUUGUUUUUAGAUGAUUCUUUGCAAUGCUCGCUUUAUUAAAUAUUUCAGAAAUUUCAAUUCAAGAACACAAUAGUGUAAUGCUCUCUAUAUUGUAUAUUUCUGAAAUUUUGAUCCAAGAACACAAUAAUGCAAUGAUUUCUUUGGGUAAUUCUUUGUAAUGUUCUCUUUGAAUGAUUCUUUGAUUUAAGAACUUAUGUCGAUUAUAAAGGAAAAAAACUGGUUUUUUAUUCUUUAAAUAUUUUCAAUCAGCAUAUUUAAUAUUCAAAUUAUUCAGCUUAUUUAUUUUUGGACUAAACGUUGACUAUACAAAAUUAAGAUAAAAUAGUCCACAAUUAAAAAGAAGGAAACUAUUAAAUUAUUUUCGUUUAUUAAUGGUUGACUGUUUUGUUUCUAUAUAUGUGCGGUCAACAGUUAAUUGAAAAAAAAUUACAGAAGUAAUACUUGAAUAUUAAAGAUUUUUUUUUUUGAUAAACAAAUACUUGAAUAUUAAAGAUGCAUAUUCCAAAUACUAGGAAUUAAAAGCUCAUUUUGUCCAUAAACUGCAUGUAUACGUACGUCUUUGUAUCAUAUAUUGCAUCGAAUGUAGAAUUUAACCAAGUCUUAUUAGAUGGAAGUCAUUAAGUAGCCAUCGAAACCUAAUACUAAUAACGCUUUGGUAUAAUAAAUAGUUUAAGAAGUACAAUUUUGAAUUAACCCUAUUUGUUUUUUAAUAUUUACCUCUGUUCGAAAAACGCGCCCGUGGAACCCGAUUACGCAGCGCCGAUACGCUCGUCGGAGGUCCACCGUGGCGAUUUCAUCAUCCUCGGCCAAGAAAUCGGAUUGAUCAAAAAAUUCAUUCUUUUUAAAGUUUUAGGUGUUUAAAUCGCAUGCUGGAAAGUAGAUCUAUGAGUUUGAUGCAUAAACAACAAGAAAAGCUUAUAAAAUUUGUGGUUUUUGACAAAUCUUUGUUGAAGGCGACGAAAAUAGUUUUGCAGAAAACCUAAAUAAAACGCAAGGAAAAUAUGACUUUAUUACAAUUAUGCCAUUCACAUAAAAAACGCACAAAAAUAUCCAAAAAGUACCUUAUGGGCUUCAAUCACCGGUACAAAUAAACUAACACCUGUCCAUUUACCAUGGGGUUACAUUACUUUUACUUGUUUCUUUCCCUAACUUCACAUAUAUAUAGCUAUAUGUAUUUAAAUUUUAAAAUAAUAAUUAAAAUUACUCCCCGCGUAUACCUCGCUUAAUCUCUGAUUUUUCGAUAACUUGCUAGAUCCGGAAUUACCGUCCGACUAACGCCUAGCGUAGUUUUAAACAGGAAAUUUACAGCCGAAUGUCAUUGACAAUAACAAUGCUCCUUCAAUCAAUCAUUAAAAUCCAUUUCGUAUUUAAGUUUGUGGCCAGAAUUUUCUUCAUCUACAUAAAAAGGUAAUGAUUAUUAAUUUCACCAGUUCUGCAUAUGUAAUCACACGAAAUAUAAAAACAUAAAAUUGAAACCAAACUGAAUUCAUUUGCGAUUACAUUCUAAUGUACUAUAUAACGAACCAUGUCAAAUAAUUAAUUUGUUUUCAGUUUUAUGUAUAGUAAUAAUAUUUACAUAUAAUUAUUAACCAAACCAAGUCAAGUGUUAUAUAUUAAUUGUUUGGGAAAAUAAAAAAUCUCCACAUGAUCUUAAUUAGCUCAACUAAAAAUCAUUUUGUCUAACAAAAUACUAAAUUAACUAUAUUUUUCUUAAAAUAAAUCGUUAGAUUGAUACAUGCGGACUGUUAGUAAUAUGUAUAGUAAUAGUAUUUACAUAUAACUAUUAACAAAACCAAGUCAAGUGUUACAUAUUAACCAAACCAAACAAUUGUUUGGAUAAAUAAAAAAAUCUACACACAAUCUUAAUUAGCUCAACCAAAAAUCAUUUUUUCUAACAAAAUACUAAAUUAACUAUAUUUUUUCAAAAAUAAAUCGUUAGGUAGAUACAUGCGGAAUGUUAGUAAUAUAUUGGAUUGAAGAUAUAUGAAUGCUUAAUCAGCUCCAAAGAAUAUUGCAAUGUCAAACACUUUACCUCUAACUUAGCUUAACACCACCCUAAUUUUUGGCUGUCACAUAAAACAAAAAGACUUCGAUCUAUAACAUAUAUAAUCUAGAUUAACAACCAUAAUAUUUAUUUCAUAUAUACUAUCACAUAAAUGGAAAAGAAAUUAGCUUUCUUUUAAAGAAAUUAUAUUAGCUUUAAAAACUUUAUACAACAUUCCUAUUUAUAAGGAAGAUAAUCGUUUAAUAGGAUACAAAAUAAAUAUUCUAUCGAUUAAACCAAUCAUAAUCAAUUUUGUAAAGUAUUUAUUCAAAUCUAAAAAUUCUAAGCUUAACUAACCAAAUAUGAGAUAUUUUAAAAAUUGUCAGAAUCGGUAAUUUAUUGUAUAUAUUCUAUUAAAAUUGAAGUACAAAAUAAUAUUUAUAUAUUUGUAAUUGAUUUUUUCAAUCUUCUUCCUUCAUUUUAACUAAUUUAAACCAAUUUAUUUAUUGUAUUUUCCAAAUAAUUCUACUUCAUUUAUAUUUAUUAUAGAGUACAAAAUAGAACUUACAUACUCUUAAGUGUUUUUAUUACAUCUUUUGCAACUCUUCUUUGUCACUCUUCCUAAUUACUUCAUCAACUAUAUUAAGCAUAAUAAUUUGACAACACUUAUUUUAAUUUUUACCAAAAUAAUUUCACAAGUUUGAAUGAAAUUGAUUAAUUCAUGACAAGAAUUCAAUCGAUUAAUAAUUUUUUUAUUUGUAUAAAGAAUCAGUUAGACAUGAGCAUUCAGGUAACUGUUCGGGUACAGAUCGGUUUUUGAGUAUCAGAUUUUAGGGUUUAAAAUUAAAUUUUGUUUGGAUAUUAUAAAUUUUUGGACGAAGUUCGGAAUCGGAUCAUUUUGGAUUAUGAUAGACUUGUAAGGACCUAAAAAUAUCUAAAUAACCUAUGUAUUUAUAAUGUCAUUAUAUAAUUUAUAAAAAAGUAAAAACUUAACAUCAACACAGACGUGCAGGUCAAGCUCUAGUUUUGUUUUAAUUAAAAAAAGACAAUACCUAGGUUAAGGUGUAGUUUUGUUUUAAUUAAAAAAAGACAAUACCUAGGUUAAGGUGUUUGGGUAUUUGUGUAAAUCUUUGUGAAAUGAUUAUUAAACAUGUACCUGAUUUAAUACCCAAAAUAUAUCAAAGUAUUAAUAAUUUUCAAAUAGAAGUUAAAAAUAUCUAAAAUUCUUAGAAAAAUCUUAAAAUUUUAAUUUAAUUUUAAUUUAAUUUUAAAUUUUAGAAAAAGUAAGUAAAGUGUGAUAAUCUUAAAUUGUGUAAUAAAAGUUUAUUGUAAAAUUUUAGUUUGAAAAUGUAUAGAUUGAUAGAUAUGAACUUAAUAUAUUUUUCAAUACAUAAAUUUAUAUGAAAACAAUGAUCGUAUUUAUUUUAUAAAACAAUAAUAAUUAUUAAACAUAAAAGUUGGGUUAGAGAAUUUAUAUCAAAAUGGACUAAUAACUGAAUUUUUUUGGUUAACUACUAAUUGAAUUCUAAAAAGAUCAAAAAGUCAUUCUUAAUAUUUUGGGCCAAGAAAAUUAAAAAGACUGCCAUUUGUUAUUAUUCUGUUAGGUUUUUAAACUCUCUAGGAAGAUAAAGAUUAAUCGUUUAUGUUUUUUGUUAGCAUAAGUUUAGGAAAUAUUUUGGUUGUUUUAGUUAAUAUUAUUAGCAUGCCAAUCGUUUGUCACAUUCCCUUUAUUCAUGAAUAUAUUCUAAAUUUUAAUAAUACGGAAUUUGUUAAUUCUAAAUUUUAAUACAUCUACUCUACUAAUUAAUACAUCUGCAAUAUUUCGUAUAUAUAUACUUCAAUGUUUUAUAACAUGUGUCAAUGAUAAAUAUGGAUGGAUUCUAUCAUCCACAUAUAUAUUGUCCAUUACUGAAAAAUGCAUGAUGAUGAUGUAUGCAGGGCCGUCUCAAACUUUACGGAGACCCUGUUCAAAAAAAAAUAAGACCCUUUAUAAUAAUCUAAAAUAAUUUAUGUUUUUUCUGACAGAAUAUUGUAAUAUAUAAUAAAUACACCAAUCUAAUUUAAUUGGAAGAAGCAUUUUUUUCUUUUAUAAUUGAAAACUUAUGAAAAGCAUCUUUUCGGGACUAUGAAUUUUUCAGUUUUUUUUUCUUUUGAUUCUUUUUGUAUCUACAGUUAAGAGUUAUAAUCUAUAAAAAAACACAAACAAAACAAUAGAAUCUUGAUAGUGGUUAGAAAAAAAACCGUGGACUCUUGAUUUGAUUAAACAAGAAAUUGGAGACUCCUCAGUUUUAUUCUUUGAUAGAUGCUUAGACUAAUGUUUCUUUUUUGUGUUUACUAUUUUUUGUAAAAGUUGCUGAAAAAUUAUAUAUUUCCCUCUUUAUUUACAAUCACUAAUUAAUAUAGUUUCCUAAAUAUAAUCAAAUUAGAAUAUUAACUUUCUAAAUUUACAUUGAAUAAUAAAUCAAACACCAACAGCUAUUUUUUACUUUCCAAAAUAUAUAAUUGAUAUAAUGUUAAUUUCUUCCUGACUUAUUGCAUUUUUGUUGGUUAUGUAAACAAAAUCAAAUUUGUAAUUUACAUAUAUUGUUUAAUAAAUAUGAAAAUUAAAUUAAAUAUAGUUAUCUGAUUUUUAAUAAAUACAUGAUUUUAAAUUUAUAGCUAUUACUAAAAAAAAAUUAUGAGUCCUCUAAAAUUUUGGACCAUGUUCGACCGCUCCACUUGCACGUGCUAAAAGACGGCCCUGGAUGUAUGUGUAGAUUUGUUUUAUUAGUGUAUUGUAAAGAAUAAUAAAUAAGAGUCCAAGAUUCAAAUGCAAAAGUAAUUGACAUAAUUUUAUUUGGACAGUCGAAGAUUCAAAUACAAAGUUAGAGUUAUGAAUAAUCCAAACUCGUAUUAAUGUUUUCACGUAGGAGAAGUAUUGUUAUCAUUGUAUAACCGUGAAUAGACUUUAUUUGUAGAAGGAGAGUUAUAAUGUACUAGAUACGGACCUUUUUUGAUGUUUUAACUUUACGAAAAACAUAAAAAGAAUGAAAAUAUUUUUCACAUUAGUUUUUAAAUUUUUUUAGUAUAUAUUGGUGUAAGACUUAUUUUAGUAUAAUAAUCAAUUUUCUUACAUAAAUUGUGAUUAGUAUUACUACUUCAGUAAUGGUGUUUUAAAAUAGUCUAUUAAUUUUUUUAUUUUUCUAUAAAUAGUUCACUUUAAAUUAUUUUUAAUAUUAUAGUUAAUUAAAACAUAUAGAAUUGAUGUAAACUAUCUAUAUUAUUUAUAUUGUGUAAGAAAAUUCAAAAAAAAUCAAAAUUAAUGUUAGACGAUACUAAUACUCUCAAAAUUUUGCACAUGAUAUGCUAUCAAUAAAAAGGCCUCACUCAAGCAAAAUAAUGUUGGCUUCAAAUAAUGGUGAGGGUUAAAGGGUAUGAGAGUGCUAUUUGGGUAAACAAAGAUAUAGGUCGCUGCAAAGACCCCCUCUGGUGCUCUUUCUCGCCCAAAUGAUCACUUUCCUACUCCUUUUUUUUUUAUCCCAAAUGCCUCCAAAUACUUCGAAGAACUCCAAUGGAUACUCCCACACCUAAUAAAAACUUAUGCAAUGCAAAAGGGACCUAAAAAAUGCCUCAAUUCUAUUCUAAAUGAUCAAAAUGUAUAGGAAUGAAUGAUCAAAACAAUGUAAAUAUGCAAGAUAUUAGACACCAAUCAAUAUGCAUUAUUGAUAUUCAGCUAAAUAUCAAAUAUAUUGCUUGAUAACCAUCAAAUUUGUUUCCCGCUAUACCCUACCUUAGCAUCAAUAGUGUGACUAUAACCUCUUUCUAUAUAUCAUAUAUUUCUGAAUUUUUUUUGAUAUACAAUAUUUUGUAGAACACUAUUGUCGAUAUGUUUUGUGUCUACUUUAAAAAUUCUGAAUUCAUGCAGUUGUUGUGACUCUUUGAUAGUGAAGUGUACAAUUGUCCAUGAGAGAUCAUCUUGCAUCUGUUGAUGUGAGACUUGUUUUAGGAAUAAGAAUCUGUUGAUUAUUGAUCUCGGUUAGGAUUUUUCUGCUUCAGUAAUCAUGUUGUCUAGGCUAGUUAUUAGUUAAAUUUUUACAUUGCAAAUUUCUUUUCGAUGAUUUAAAUUCCUUAAUAACAUGACUGAAACAUCUAUUUUGAGAUCAAGUUCGUGAUUUGGAAUCCCUGAAAAAAUUAACAUAUUUAAAAAUCUGUGGGAUAUAGAAUAUGCUGAUUUAUAACUUCUUCUUUGUUGUUACCAAUACUAUCAGAACUCAAAUGUUCCUUUUGCUCACCGUCUAAGCACUUUAACAUAUAGUUAUCUAUUUUACCAACCCUUUCAUUCCUUAUUCUUUGGUGUAAGCAUUGCUUUUUUGAUGAGAUAAUUCUUGUCUUCAAAAGUAAAUUUGGAAAUCUUGAUAUAUAGACAUUGUAAUGCAUUCAAAAGGAGCUGCAUUCUUUUGCAAGAGCAAUUUGUUGUCUAUCAAAGAAGGUAAAUCAUGUGAACAUCAGUUUAGAUGUGAAAGGACAUGCAGAAAAUCUCACCUAAAUAGAAAAGUCGAUUAUUCAUAAUAAAUUAACAUUAACUUAACUACAACAAUAUAACGAAUUUAUAUUGUCGAUAAGAACAAACACAUAUAAGCAUAAUAGUCACAUUAACUUUUGUACAGCAGAAUAACUGCAUAACAUCUAUUUGACUAUAUGUACAAACGCCAAAGUGUAAUUGUGGCAAUAACUAACGUACAUCAUCAUUACAAUUAUGACAAAAAAAUCAACAUCAGUUUAAGAAGAAAAAAAAACAUGUGAAGAUCAGGAAACCUAGUUAUUUCAAUCAUAUGUUACAAUGCUAAAAAAAAAAUCAUCCUUUGUCGUUCACAUGGAUGCAGAGUUACCGAUCUGGUUUACAGAGUCAACAUGAGUUUGUAAAUUCUUUGCUGUCAAAAAAAAAUCAUAGUUUACAAUUAUUUUUUCUUUAGGAUUUUAGAAAAGGGAAAUUAAUAUUAAAUAAAUUAUUUUAUAAAUAUUUUUUUGUUUAGGAUUAACAAAAAGGAAAAUUUCUAGAAACAGCUACUAUUAAAUAAUUUUUGAAAUUAAUACUUACUAUUAAAUCAUUUUUAAAAUUCGUUUUUAUUAUCUUAGCAUAUAUAUAUUUAAUCAUGAGAGAUUUUAACACAUGUCGAUAUAUUAAAAGGAAACCCACUAUCACAUAAUUAUCUGCUUAAGAUUUUUAAAAAGAAAAAAUAUUAUUAAAUAAUAUUUACAUUUACUUUUUUACAAAUUUUUUUUUUUGUUAUUAUCUAAUUAUAUAUAUUUUUAAUUAGGAGAUAGUUUAACACAUAUCAUAAUUUUGAAUAUAUAUUUGCUACAUGUCACAAUCGUGUUAAUUAACAACUUUGAAAACCAAACUUUAUAUAAUAAGAUAACCAAAAUAUAAGGAAUGAUAAUUAUCUCUUAUUUCUCACGUUAGGUCCAAAUUUAAAUAAUAACUAAAUAAAAAGUAUGAUUCUAAAUUAAUAGAUUAGAUUAAGUGGAUGAAGUUGAAUGGGAAAAGAUCUGACUGUUUGCUCCAAGAAGGAAUGUAUGUACAUUCAUUUAACACACAAUAACUGCAAAUAGAGAUCAUAACAUUGAUAUGUUCCAUUUGUUGUUCAUUCAUCGAACAGGCUUUGUGUCGAAGCUGCUUAAACAAAUGGCAAAAGCUUGGAAUGCGGAGAUCGGGUAACGAUAAUCCAUGGUGAAUGUAUCUUUCCCUAUCUUCCCAAACUGCAGUAUCACUCUCUCUUGUUCCUCUUCAGGGAUGUUCAUGUCCUUCCCUGCUUCUGCAGCAGCAGCCAUUAGCUGGAAGUUUUUCACGGAGGCAACCGUGACUCGUCCUUUGAAGUUAAGACACCAGCACUGAAGCUGCUCGUGCCAUCUGGGCAACUUGUUUUUCAGGACUAAUGGUUCCUUCACGACGGAUUCUCCUCCCAAGUUCCCUGACCAGAAAUCAAUCAGCCCUCUCUUCUUCUUGCUUCCUAGGUUUGACAACUCGGUCGGAGUAUGAAUCUGUCCCCCUUCUUGAAUAGAAGAAACUGGGAUAGUGUUCAUGAUACAUUGCAUUCUUCUUGGACCUCUGGUUCUAAGGACAUUCAGCUCAUACAAGAUCGAAGCCAUGCUGUAACUGUGAGUAGAUGAAGUUACCCAUGGAGACACACGCAUCGUCUGUGAUAGUUUCUUGUUAAAUGAUCUUCGGGAAUCAACCGGAGAAGGUUGGUUUUCGUAAACCGUGAACUUAGUUCCAAGGAAAUUCGAUCUAUCCACCCAACAACAAGAAGGAAAGUUAUAAAUGUCAUGGCGAUAUUAAACGAUCAAAGAUGACAAAUAAGGUACCUUAGUUUCCCAAUAUAGUUACUGCUACUUCUUGAGAAGUCCUUUCCAGACAAAGAUACAAUAAACUCAACACCAGUCGCCCUCCUUACCCUCUUAGCCGAUAGCAAGAGCUUACUCUUGUCCCCGGUAAGCGCUGAAACCAUACAGACAUUAAGAUGACAACACAUAGUCCCAAGACUCACAAGAAGUAAGAGAAGUUAAAACUACCAGGGCUUAAACCAAGAUAGAGACGGUAUAUCCCAGUGGCUCUCUCCCGUUUGAUAAAGCAUUGAAUCGGAUCAUCUCUAGGGCCAGGCUGAGACAAGAACCCCCAAUGUCUUUUAGCUCAUCACUUCCAACGAUUACAAGAACGUUCUAGAAAGAGUAUAAACCUGUUUUAAUGAAACUGGAAAAGUGAGGAGACCAGAGAUCUCAGGAACCUUAACAACUUCUUUAGUCAUCUCCCUCCAGGCCUUACAAACCGAGGCGCAAGCAACAACGUCUCUCCUCCCCGGCCAUGAGGUCUGACCAGACUCGAUUCGAUGGAUGAUGUCAAGAAGCAGCUCCGGAGGCAAAUCAACCCAAACGCUCUGAUAUAAACAAUCAUCAGCAGCUGAUGGAGAAGGAGAAGAUCCUUCUGGAGCAAUGUGAGACCUUCCUCGUCUACCAUUGGCUUUGUUGUUACGACCCCUAAGCUCGCGUACUAUGUUCUUCAACGGCAUUUCUACAAUUCAACUUCUCCUACGGACCCCCAAAUCGAUCAAACGAAGCAAAAAAAAAAACCCUAAUUUGUACCUUCAACAAACGAACAAAGAUUAAAUCAUGAAAAGGGCAUUAUCGUGUAAUGAAAACGAGAGAGAGAGAGAGGGGAUGUAUGUACCUAGAGAAGCGACAAAUCCAUGGGGAAUCACGACGAUCGGGGUGAAUUCCGAUUAAGAAAGUCUCGAAUUGAGAAAUUUUAAAACGCUCCUUGAAAGUAAAUAGAGCCGCCACCACCACAACUCCUCCGAUGUUGUUAACCGUCGCCGUCGUUAGGUUUGAAUCCCGACGACGACAAUGAUUUCGAGGAGAAGGGAGAGAGAAAGAGGAGACGGGAAAGUUUCCGUUUUCUUUUUUAUUUAUUUAUUUAAUUAAUAAGAGUAGGCGCGGCCCCAUCUCUCCCUCCUUUCAAUUGAAAUUAGUAAAUUACUCAAAAUAGGUUUUUAUCUCUUUUUUUUAUUUUAUUCUCUUCCAUUUUGGUCAAAUUACUUUCUCACAAGUUUUUGUUUAAGUUAUUAACAUAAAAAGAAACUUUCUGUCUUUUUAUUACACCAUUAGACAGAUUUCACUACUGAGAUAGUUUGUGGAAGUAAAAUGACAACACUAACCCUAACAACACUCACCUUUUGUAGAUUGUGAAAAGCACACUAUCUCUUUUAUUCUUCUUUUAUUUACAGUCAUACUUUUUUUUAUAAAUAAAAUUGUUUUCUUCUUCUUUAUCUCUUUCAUCAUCUUCUUUUCUCUUUUCCUAUGUCGAUAAAGUGGUUAUGGAUCAAAUUAAACUGAUUUGAAACAAAGAAACAAAAAUCUAAGCGUGCAUACACCUCUCAAGUUCUGAUGGUGGAUUUUCUGAAUCAAAGUCUUAAUUCGUUGGUCUAUCUUAUUCUUCUCCAUCUCUACCUUCAUCCUCCACAAGAAUAACCACCAGAGAAAUAUCAUUAAAACGAGAUGUAGCCAUAAGUACAAAUGAAGGCAAAGAGAAAGUGGCUAAGAAACCCGAUGUAUCUCCACCUCCUGUUCAAUCUCCGUCUCAGCCGUAGAGGAAGCUAGAUGAUGUAAAUCCAGAGAGAUUGGAACUAAGUUGACCGCAGCUUGGCGAGGUAAGAUUACAUUUAAUAUAUUUGUUUUCUCCUGCUUAAUACUGAAUUUCAAUUAUAAAGUUGAUCUCUGAUUCCAAAAGAUGCAGCUUGCUUCCUUUAGAUUUGUUUUUUAUUUAUUUAUAUCAACUCAGCUUAUUAUGUAUUACCUUUGAAACUUAGCUUUAGAUGAUUCACAAAGUAUAUAUGAUUUUUGAAUCUAGUAUUUUGAAAUGACUUACAAAGCUAAUUCAGAUCUGUAUGGAUCCUAGAGAAACAUAAGGUUCUGAUUUUAUGUUAUAUUGUUAUAUGAUGUAUUUGUUUUGUUGGAAAUGUUGGUUUGAACGAUGUGUCUUGAUUGAAUUAUCUAUUAUUCUAUUUUUUUGUUCUUGGACGGACAACUCCAUAAUGUGGACAAGUAUUGGCAUGGAGUCAAAGACAAGAAGCUAUUCAUGUGUACGCCGCGUGUAAGUUGUCAAUGUGUACGCCUUGUGUAAAUUGUCCAUGUGGACAUCUCAGUUGUCCAUGUGGACAUCUCAGUUGUCCAUGUGAACGACAUUUGGUGGGAAUGUCUUGUACUAAGUAAUAUUAUUAUAAUUUUUUUGAUUGUGAAAGCCAUGUAUAAGAAAUAUCAGAUGUUGCAUUGUCCGUACAUAUAUUCUUGAACACUUGUUUGGUACCACAAAUGCCAGCUGUGGCGCAUCGACCAAAAAACGGGUACCCAUUGUGUAUGAGAGAUAUACAACAUUGAAGCUGGCUUAGUAAGAAGAUUUGGUAUGUUUUAGAGGAGAAGCAUUGUCCAAGUAAAAUAAACACUCGCAUUUUUUGUUUGCAAGUGUUUUACAUGUACAUGUACUCGUAGGUGUCCACAUGUACGCAUGCACGUUGAUGUACACAUGUAUACUGAUGUUUAGUCUUCAAGACUUGAUUCAAUCAUAUUUAUUUAUGGUGUAAUAGUUGCAAAUAACUUAAUAAAAUACAAAUCUUUCCAUCUGAUUCAUCCAAUUUUCUUUUGAUAUGGAAAGUUUGGUAUCCAAUUCGAUCUAUGUUGCUAAGAAGGAAAAAAAUUGGAGCUUUUACAUACGUAGUGAGGACUUUUUUUUUUGGACAAACCGUAGUGAGGACUCUCUUUGCUUCAUAUAAGUGAAAAAUUGUAAUGAAAGUUUAAGAAGGAUUAUUAUCAAAGAAUUUAUAUUUAUCUUACGUCUCUUUUUUAAACUGAUGUACACGUGGACAGUCAAACAUUGUGUACACAUGGAUAGUCAAAUAUAUAUUUACACGUCGAUGGUAUUUGUCAGUAUAUAUGUAAAACAUUCAAAUGCUUUCAUAUGUGUGUAUUAGAUUACUAAAUGUUAAUAUUCAUUGCAACGGCAAAUCAUUGUCCAUCUUUUACUCUUUUGUACACAUAAAUGUACAUGUAGAUACUGAGAAUUAUGCGUACAUGUGGAAUACUAUUUUGUAACAGUAUAUAUGUUGAUCAGUGAAAACACAUCAAGAGACGUAAGAUAAAUAUAAAAUAUUUGAUAAUAAUCCUUCUUAAAUUUCAAUUACAACUUUUGACUAUCUAUGUGUACACAAUGUUUGACUGUCUACGUGUACAUCAGUUUAAAAAAUGUACAUGUACACUGAUUACAAACCAAACAAUGAUCUGUGUAAUUCACAAAGACGAAUAUGUGCAUUCAAAAAUUACAAAUCUUUACACCUUUAACGAUGACAACCGGAGUCGUUGUUCAGUUCAAUCAUAACCGCUUCAUUGAAAUUAUAAGGAAGCAGCCAUAUGCACAAACCGAGUUCAUCGAAGUUAUCUAUCCAUCACCAGAACGAUGGUUAAAUCCACAGUGGAAGAUGAGACGAGGAUUCCAAACGUUGAUGUUGAUGAUUCCAUACAAACUUGAUAUCUCAUAAUCAUACCUCACAUUUACCUUCGUCAUCCUUGUCGUCGCCGUCUUCAUCAUCAACUCUGUCAUCCUCUAUUUCCUCAUCUUAUUCUUCUACUGGUUCUAUAUGAGGCCGACUAAGGGUUGUAAAAUCGAACUCCAUCGUCACGUGUUUUUCAUCUUUAUCAUAAUCUUCAUCUUCUUCUCCACAUGAUUUGUUUUACAGAAAAAAAAUUGUACGAGAAAGACAAGAAAAGAAUUUAAGAGAUAAGGAAAGAGAAAGAGAAAGAGAAAAAGAGAUUGAUUUAUGGCCACAUAAUUCUUUUUUUUGGUAUUUUUGUUAGAUUUAAAAGAAAAAUAAUGAGAAAGGGUAAUAAUGAAUUUUCAUACGCUGAAAAGAGGAGAGAAGGUGUUGAAAUGAGAGAAAAAGUGUGUAGGUAGUUGAAACUGUCCUAGAGUGAAAUAAUAAACUCAAAAACUGCCUUCUAGUGUAAAUCUUUCUUUUUGUUUUUGUAUUUUAUUCUUCCAACAAGAAAAUACUUUAAAGCAAAUCUCCUAAGAAAAACACCGAAAACCUUUUUUGACCAAAAAGACGCAAAAGGAAAAUGAUUUUAAAUAAAUUUAUUAAAGAGGUAAAUGACAAGUAUACCAUUACUUUAUAUACGGUAAAACUCUAUAAAUUAAUAAUGUUAAGACAAGGAUAUUUUAUUAAUUUAUAUAAUUAUUAAUAUAAAAUAAAUUUUAUUGUAUUAUUUGGUGUACAUAAAAUAUGUUUCAUAUAAUUGAAGUGUUUUUCAAGAUGUAAUUUUACUAAAUGUUAUCAGAAUAUAUUAAAAAUGUUAAGAAAACAUAGAUAAAUUCUAUUGCUGAUAUAAAAUAAACAAUAUAUUAAUGUGUUUAUUAAUUUACUGAGUAUUAAUUUAUAUAGUUUCUACUGUAUAUAAAUAUAAAUAAAUAAUAAAAUAUUAUUUCCCAAAAGAAAUUUAUUCAAUAUUCAAAAACCUUUUUCAAACACAAAUUUCAAAUUUUCUUCUUUUUUCCAAAUUUUAUAUCGAAAUGUGAAAAUUCUUUAUUGAAAAUUUAAAAUUAUUAUUUAAAAUUUUAAAUCUUAAACUUUAAAUCCUAAACCCUAUCCCCAAACAUUACCCCUAAAUUUAAACCCUAAGUUUAGAUUAUUUAACCAUAAGGGUAAACUUAUCUAUUACUUCUUUAAUAAAAUAUUUGAUUAUUUUGAUCCUUGUAAGCUAUUUUGUGAUUAAAAAAUUAAUGCUAUCAUAUGGUUUAUCUAUUGGCCAUAUUAAAAGAGUAUUUUUAUUAUAAGAAAUUGAGAAAUACUCUAUGAUAAAUAUACAAAACUUUAUCACAAAAAUAGUUCUAAAAGUCAAAAUGAUCAAAAUAUGUUUUAUUAACGAGAUAAAAGAUAUUUUUACUGUUACAGUUAACUAAGUUUUUUAACACUGGUUAGUUAUGCUAUUACAAACUAUGAAAAACAUUACAUAUACGAUAUUACAGCCGACAAUUAUGUUUGUCUUAUGAGGAUUCAUGUCUGACUACAUCACCUAGAGUCGCCCUAUGAGAUCCAUUCCUGAUGGUACUCUUUGCGCCAUGUCGAAGAUCUCUUAUAAGCUUUUUCUCUAAUAUUCUGCAUAAUUUGCCUUCUACAGAAAUUGAAACUCAGAUCUCCUGAUUUAAAAACAUUAAUGAACCUUUAGUUAAACCACUGGUUCAAAGGGGCUUACGGUCAACUAAUCUAGACUAGGUUUUAGUUAGGGAGAUAGGUUUAUAGUGUUUAUAAAUUUAAAAUAAUAAUUUUUUUAAAAAAUAGGAAAAAAGUUAGGAAAAAAAUAAUCAUAGAGAACUGAUGUGUGGCGUCUAGAACGUGCACCUUGAAAACCAGCCCUUCAAAAAAUUUCAAUAAAAUCCAUGAGUCCUUCCUUUGCCUUGCAACAUCUUCUUCCACAGGUCAAUAGUUGAAACUCUUUCCGGAUGAACGUUGAAUAAUGCUUGAGAAACUAGGUUUACACAUCGGGAAAAUGUCGAUGGAAUUCUCUAUGAGCCUUGAGAACCAAGUCAAAGCCGGUCCGUUAAGAAUUUCCACGAACAAUUAAUAGUAUACUGCAUCUUUCUCUUCGACGGUAAAGUGUGCUUGUCCCACGGUUAUAUUGGACAUGGUCAUGUGAUCACUAGGAUCAGAUUCGCCUGAGAAAGAGGGAUCUUUAGCAUAUAUGUAGGACGAACUCGGCCAUUUUUUGGCAAGGGUGUCUUCUGUUUUUCUUUGAGGACACGCUCUAGCUCAGGAGCCGAACUCGUUACAGGUGAAAUUUUGACGAGCCAUCCAGUAUUGUGUCCCGAAGAACUUUGAUUUUUUGAAUCGUUGCCUGGUUGGUUUGAUGUGUCUGUUGAUUAAGAUAUUCCAUUAGUUUUUGCGUCAAUGUCAUCGUGGUGGUGACAUCCACAACCGGAAGGAUAGUGCAUGUCCCUCUUCGAUCAUCGUCUCCAGCCAUCUCUGAUAUUUCCUGGCAUUGCUUUGUAAUUCCACUCAAACGACGCCAAUCGUUUCAUCUCUUAACAUCGCCCAAGAAACACUUUCUAUCCUAUUCAUCAUCUCCCGCAACACUCCUCUCUCUCUCUAGCAUCACCUCUACACUCCUCUCUCCGGGCCAGGAUUGCCCAUAUGUCUCCUUACUCCUCAAAGGUGCCCAUACCUCCUCAUAACUCCUCAGCAUCACCCACUUCUCCAUUUGUCGUGUUCUUGCUCGAAUCUUGAUCGUUCUUCGUUUUAUCGCAAUCGUAGUUGUUGUUGAGAUUUUUUUCAAAAAAGUUAAUUUGUUUUUAGUUUUUGUAAAAUCUAGCCAACUGUAGAGUUGGAAACUGUUAUUUUAAACAUCUAAUAUGUUUUAGACAAAAUAAAAUGAUUUUUCUCUUUGUAAACUAACAGCACAAAAAAUGCAAUUCGGAGCAAAACGACGAUAUUUCCAAGAAUAGUCAGCGAAACCUUAAUUCUCAAAACAGUCCAAAACAAUCUAAAGCACGAAACAGAACUUUUCACUUAACGUGUAAAGUAACCAAAUAUUAAUGACAUUUUACUUUACUUAGAGAGGAAUAAAGAAGAAAUUAAGAUAAUGAAAGAUUUUCGAAAGAGAUAAACUCGACUCUCGACAAAGAAAGGAAAAUAUCAGAGGAAAUAUGGAAACAAAGCAGAUGUGGAUCAAUGGCAAUAUGGUCGGCCUUGGAAGAAUAUAUAAACAAGGCUAGGCCAGAGAAAAAGGGGGCAAAAAAUUAGCUCUCGAAAGUCUAUGCACUAAAGAAACCUUAAGUUUUAUUUUUGUCUGUUUGCUAAUGAGCUGCAACCCACCUAGGAUUUCUAGGCUUAUGUGGUUAGUCUAGCGAACUUAGAUAGAUUUCGCUACUUUCGCUUAUUCGACUUCCGUUGUAAUUUUGCUAUCCAGAUCUCCUAGUAUAUAAGCAUUAAUGAUAUGUGAUGUCUAAAACGUGCACCUUGAACAAAAUUUUGGUUUGGGUUUAGUUUGGGUUUCAAGUUCAGGUUUUUUUGCUGAGGCCUAACCCUACCAACAUAAGAGAGUUUAAGUGAGGAAAUUUUAUUUAUCAAUUUUGUUUCCUAAGAUUAUCAUAUAGUUCUUCAGACAAGUGUAGAAAGGGCAGAAGAAAAGUAAAAUUAAUUCAAAUAUACAAUAAGCAUCAACUAACAUCGACUUAGAAACAAAAUUCCACAUUGACUUAGUGAACAUAUGCAUCCCAAUCCUAAAAUUGUAAACUCUAUGUUUCAUACGUUUACGAUUAGAUUAUAGGUCAAAUACAUAAGGACAAUAAUAUUUAUGUAUAAAUAUAAACUAGGUGUUUGCCCGCAAUUUUGCGGAUAGUUAUAUUAUAUAAAGAUAUAUAUCUUAACUUUACACUGUUAUAUUUUUUGAAUAAUAAUUAGAAAUUUAAAAUAUUUGGAUAAUCAAAUAUUUGGAUAAUCAAAAAUUUGGAUAAUCAAAAAUUUCAGUAUAUAUUUUUAGAAAAUAUGUGAAAUUUAAAAUAGUUCAAAAACAUAAACCUUAGUCAUUAAAAUUUUUUCUCUUACAGAAAAGAAUAUUAUAAUUAAUUCAGAUAAUUGGUGGUAAAAUUACUUUAUAUUUUAGUUUAACACAUGAAAAACCGAAAAUACUCUAGCUCUCAAGAGAGAGAAAAAAAAAGAGUGCAUUUUUUGUGUAACUUCAAUAUGACCAAUACAAUGAUCGUAGGCUUUUAUCAUGAAAGAUCUUUUGUAAACAGUUUUGUGUGGGCUUUAAAAACAUAAAAUUUAUAAUAAUUUCUUACCUACAAAUAUAAUUCUUUUAUAUAAUAAUAUAUAACCAUUGAAUUUAUUUUCUAUAAAAAUACUAAAGUAGUUUGUUUAAUUAUAUAUAACUAAUUGAUAAAAAUAAAGAAAUUGAUAUAACAUACAUAUAUAUAUAUAUAUAUAUAUAUAUUCUUUCUCUAAUUCUACAAUUAGUUACCAUAAAUCAUUAUUUGUACUAUCAUUUGUGUUAUUUGGUAAUUUGUACUAAUUAGUUCUAGAGUUACCUUUUAUUUUUAGAUCUGAUUAAAAAAAUAACUAAUAAAUUUUAACAACCAAUCAAAUUAUAACUAUUUUUAAAAAAUAAACCUAUUAAAGACACAUAAUCAAAAGUUUAUUAAAUGACUUCUCAAUUAAUAUAUGGUAGGAUUUAUCUCUUUAAAACCAAGGAUUAAUUUGGUUAAGUUAAACAUAAAAACAUGUAUUAGAAAAUGGUAGUUUAAGCAAUUUUCUCAUAAUUUGUCCCAAAUCACACUUUCUCACUCAUUAUUUUUAAUUUAGUGUUUAACAUAAAACUCACUAUUUUAUCAAACAUUAACUCAUUCAACCAAAUGCUUUUAAUUAAAACUAAUCAUAGUUUACAUAUCUUUUAAAAUUAUUGUUUUAAUUUAUUUUAAAUUAAAUUAAAACAUAUCUAUAUUAAUUAAAUCUAUUAACUAAUAAAAAAAAAUAUUUCAAUUUUUAAAUAACUAAAUGUCGUUAUUUUAGGCAUAUAUACUUAAUAUUAAUGUGAGAUCCAAUAUUAUAUGAAAUAAAAUGUUUUUUAUUUGUAUACAUUUUGUUAAAAUUUUAUUAUCGUACAUUUUAAAAGUUUAUUAUAGUUUAAAAAAUACAUCUCACUAAUAUUUUAAAUAAUUUUUUAUUACUUUCAAUUUACAUUAUAUUUUUCAUCUUUGACUUUAACAAUUGUAGAGAUGGUCAUUUUUAUUGAACUUCCUUAAUAAAUUUAUAUCACAUUGUCUUUAGAAAAUAAUUGGAAUUUUUUUAGAAUUAUAUAUUUGACUGUUUUGCAUUCAUUUGACACAUUUUUAUACUAUAUAUAUAGUGAAUAAGUGAAUUUAAUUAAUAUUAUUAAGUUUAGAUUAAUUAGUUUUCUAAAAUAUAUGAUUUAUUUUAUUCACUGCUAAUAUAAAGAUAAUAAAAACCGUUUUUCUAAUUGUUUCUAUAGUAUCAUAUGUAUUUAUAUGUAUCUUAUCAAUUUAUAUAAUGUAAUCUAGAUAUUUAAUUAUUUCUAUAAAAAAAUUAUGUUAAUUCAUCUAUAUUUAAGAUGCUAAAUUGUAUGUUUGGAAAGAUAGAUUAGAUUAGAUAAUUCUAUGAAUAUUUUCAUUUUAAAAACUUUCAUUAAAUAAAUUAAAAAUUAUCAACCAAUCAAAUUAUAACAAUUAAUCUUAUAUAUUAAAAAAGAAGUCAUGACUUCUUUCAUGUGUGAUUUUUUUUUUUUUUGGACCAUCACUUAGAAAUCUUAUUAAAUGUAUUUUAUUAAGAAUAAUAAUACAUAGAAUCUUUAAAAUACUUUAAUCAUAAUAUCUUUUGAUAUCUUUUUAUUUAAAAUAUAAAUAUAUUUAUUUUAAAAAUCUAACAAAUCUGUUUUAAAAGAUUUUUACAAGAUCUUCAUUUUCGAAAUUAUAUUUAAAUAUUUUUCAUUAAUUUCGAAAUUAGUUUGAAAUAUUAUUAUACAUUAAUAAAUUCACUAAUCAUUUAUAAAAUAAAAAAUAAAAAAUUCUGUAAUAUUUUAUAUAUUAUAUAAUCAUGAUCAAUCAUAUUAAAAGAAAAUUAUUAUAUUGAGCUAAGUAUAAUAAAAUUGUAUUAAAUUUAUAAAUUUUAUUUUCAUAAGUAUAAAAUAUUUAUGUUCAAAAAUAAAAUCUAAUAUGUUGGUAAGAUGGAUUAAGCAAAAUAUAUAAUACAUGUAUAAAAAUUAACAUGUAUUUCUUUAAAGCUUAUAAUAUAAAAUCUUUGUCACUACUUUAAUCAUAAUAUAUUUUCAUUUUAAAUAAAAUAUAUAUUUAUAUAUUAUAUUUAAAAAUUCUAAUAAAUCUGUGUAAAAUUAUUUUAACAAUAAUUUAAUAUAUUUUAAGUUAUCGUUUAUAAAAUAAAAAUAAAUAAAUUAUAUCCUAUUUUACCCACUUUAUAGUCAUGAUCAUGUUAAAAUAUAAUUAUUAUACUUAAAUAAAUAUGAUAAAAGUAAAUUCAAUUGAUAAAUUUAUAAAUUUUAUUUUCAUAAAUAUAAAUUAUUUAUUUUAAAAAUAUAAUAUGAUGAUUGAACGCCUUAAAAUUAACAAACCUUAUAAUACAUGUCUAAAAAUUAACAUAUCUUAGACUUUUGUAUAUACAAUAAUAUAUUAUCUAAAAUGAAUAAGCAUAAAAAAUAUUAGUAAAAAGAAAUACAGCUUUGAAACACGGAUCAGAAUUUAGCAUAAAUUAAAUACAAAAUAAUUUUCAAAUAUGUUUUCUCAUGAAUAUAAUAAUUUGCUUAAUAACUAAAUGCAAAUACAAUAAGAUAAAUAUAUAAUAAGAAGUGAAAAUACAUACGGUUUUAACCAAAUGAUUAAUUAUAACAUGUAAAUUAUAAAAUUAUUAUAUUUGAAAUAGUUAUAUAAACAUUUAAGUACUAGUGGUUGGCCCGCCCUACGGGCGGGUUAGUUUACGCUAAAACUAUUGUAUAUGAAAAUAUAUAUUAAUUUUAUAAAUUUUUUAAAAUUUACUUUAAAAUAAAAUAAUAAAUAUAAUAUUUUUUUAAAAAAAAUCAAAUUGUAUUUAUUAAUAUUUUUUAGUUUGAGUUGAAAAGACCUCUACCAUUUUUUGGUUAUAGAUUACAAAAUUAUGAAAUUAAAAAAUUAAGAAAAUGUAAUGAUUUAUAUUUCUAUUUUAUUUCUAUUUCACUUUGAUAUAGUUGAAGAAAAUCUAAAGUAAGAAUAACAUUUUUAAAAAAAAUUCUAAGAGUAUAAUUAUAAUACUAUUACAAUUAAUUAUCGUCUCCCGAUUAUAAAUUAAUCCACUUCCAAGCUAAAUCAAUUGAAAAUAUAAUGUAAUGUAAUAAAAUUAUAAAAUGUUAUAUUUUAAUGUAAUAUAUAAAUAGUUUCAAUAAUUUCACAAAUAACAAUUAAUCUAUAUUAUUUAACAACAAAAUGAUGUUUUAAAACAAACCAAACCAGAACCAAAGUGGACCCAAUAUUUAUUAGUCAGUUUCUACUAUUGUUGUCCAACUGGAACAAAAACAUUAACAGACAAAUUGAAAUUCAUAAAUAGUCAGUUUCAUUGUUCAUUGUCUAAACACAACAUGAAACACUUUGGUUGCCUCUAUACCAUUUGGUUUUCGGUUCGAUUAUGGUUUUUGUUGGUUUUCCGGUUCUAAAGAUAUAGGUUACCGUUCAAUUAUUUAUGAAUUUCACUUUCGCUAUUUUGGUUUUUGUUCCAGUUUGGAUAACAAUAGUAGAAACUGAAUAAUAAAUUUUGGGUCCAUUUUGGUUCUGGUUUGUUUGUUUUUUCGGAUAAUUCUAGAUAAAUCGGGAAAUUGGAGAUCUUUGUAUUUUUCAGAUAAAAUAUCAGAUAAUUAAAAAAUAUUCUACAUUCUUUUGGGUUAUUCAGAUAUUUUAGUUACUUUGGAUAAAAAAUAUUUGAUUUUUUUCGAGUAGUUUGAUUUAUAUGUAAUAUUUUUAGAAUAUUUGGUAAUUUAUAAACUUAAUGUAAUUAAUAUUUUAAGCAUAUGAAAUGAAAUUUAAAUUUUCUGAUUUGAUUUUUUGAUUCAAUUCCGGUUUGGUUUUCGAUUCUCGUUUAUAUACCUAGACAUAGUUGCUUUAAGCUUUUACACAAACACACAAAAGAGACUAUUUGAAAAUAAAUAUCUAGAAAGUAUAACAAUAAUCUGUAUGCAAUGGGUAUAAAAAAGAAAUGCGGGCUUUCCUCCCUCAUGAACUAACAAUACUACAAUAACUUAAAGACUCUUCUUUUGGAAUAGAUGGAUCUGGUCUUCCUCAAGUACUUCAAGCAUUACCCAAAAGAGUAAACAUCAGACUUCCCAGUCAAUUGUUAUCUUGUACUGGUCUGGAUCAAGAUAAUGAAUCUUCCUAUACCGUCAUACUCACACGUGUCUGGUCAAGAUCUGGACGUCUUAAACAAUCCAAAUUCUGAAACUUUGUCCAUGAAAUUCUCAUCGAAGAGAAUGUUAUCAUACUUCAUAUCGCGGUGGAUGAUACCUCUUGCGGAAUCUGUAUGGAUAUAGUGCAGGCCUCUAGCUGCACCAAGACAUAUCUCAAGCUUCUGUCUCCAGCUCAACCUUGGGCGAUCCAAGUCAUGCACAAUAGUCCUCUUAUUGUUCUCACUGCAAUGCCCGAUUAAAGAAACCAAAUGCAUGUGUAUGAACUGGGACAACAUUUCGAUCACUGUCCUGAAUUUAUUGAUGUAAAGCUAUAGCUGGUUAGUAUAUGUAUUUGAAAAAACCAUUACCUACUGUGGUUGAAGAUUCUUACGGUCCAAUCAGAUUGAUUGCUUCUGGUGGUAGACCAUAUAAUUAAAAAGCCUACUUUCCUCGUUUGCCUUGUAUCUCAAGGACCUCCUGCACUCAAAAACAGAGAACAGUUCGAUUCAAUUAAUUUUUAACACAUUGAGUCAUUCGUUAAUGCAAAAGUGGAACUUUUUGUGGAAGUAAUUCUUGAUUGUAUUACUGAUGAAGCGCUCAGGUGCUUAAUUUCAUUUUCUCCACGUCCCUAAUACUCGAUACCACAUCAUCAUCACACCUGAAAAAAGAGGAAACUUAAAAGAUUAAUAUGUGCCUCCAAAAAUUCAUAUAAUUCAGAGACUCAUGAAGAAACAAGACUUCAAAUGAUGCUAGCCUUCUUUUGACACUAAACACAGUUGGAGUGUUGUCAAGCAGUGGGUUUCCUUUGGGAAGUUCCUCUUCUUUGGCGUUUAGCUCUUCAUUUGCUGCUGCUUUUCCUGGAAAAAUGUAAAUAAUAAAUAUUAAGAUACAACUUUCAUAUGUCAAUGUGUUUAGAAAAAACUAACGUAGUCAUUUUGUUAUAAUUGUAAUCUGAAAUCAUCUCACAGACAAGAACACAUACCUUCCUGAGCCUCUUUAUUUAUUUAUCUGGUCUAGUUCAGCCAUAAGAGAUCCAGUCUCAUCCUCAUCAUCGUCACUUUCUUUAUAUUUAAGAAAGACAACCAGAUCGUAAGAUAACUCAAAGGAAAUUACAAGUCUCAGUUGAUAUAAGUCAUCAAAAACUCUCAAAAAGGAUAACACUGAAGCAAUUGCAUAUUCCCAAACCAGGGCUCUGAGGAAAAGCAUUAAAUCUCAAGCAAAGAAUCUUUAGAAGUUUAAAGCACAAAAGAUGAACUGCAAUAGGAAGGAAAGAAUGGAAAAUAGGUACCUAUCAUCAUCAUCAGAAUCAUCUUCAGAGUCCCUUUUAGAGCCUAAAAGCAGGAUAUCAGAGUUAGAAUUUAGAAAACAUAUAAUCAAACUACUUGUAUCCCGUGACAUAUAAUCAAAUAAACAUAUAAACCUUCGAGUAAUAGCUGAUUCCCUCUCCUGUAGUAGCUUUCAACUAAUGACAAAAAAAAAACACAUUAGUGAAACGAAGGAAGAAUCUUUACAAAAUCAUAUUGAAAAAAAGGUUUGAAAUUUAUCGUCUCACUCAUCACAGUGAGAUUUUUCUUUGGAAGAAAAGUUUCUCCUCUCACGCUCUUCAAGUCAUCACGAAGUUUCUUCUUCUAUAGAACAUCAAGAACUGAUCUCGGUGGUGUUUGAGCAACGGCCUGCUUUCAGAUUUGCGAGAAGAACGUAGGAAGUCGACAUAGUGGGCGGUGAUGCUUGGCAGAGUAUAAUCUUUGAGAAAUCUUAGCGGUGGAGCUGUUCAUGGCAUCUAACGGAGACAUUUAUAGUCUGAAGUCGUACCGAACUCAAACAUGCAUCGCUUACCUUCGUCGCCAAUUAUAAUACAUAAAUGAGGCGGAGUGGGAGGAGAUGUAUGGUGGUGUUAAAUGCUCAUUUUAAUGGUGGACUUAAAAAACGAAUCUGUUACCCAAAGUUUUCAUCGGAUGGAAGAGAAGCGAAAGGAUUAGGGCGUCUCAGUCGAGGAUCAUAAAAACUUAGUCAAACACGGGCCCACGCAUCUGAUACUUAUAAAGACCAAAUUAAAAUAAAAGCCCAUUCACCGAGAGACGAAAAUUUUAGGAGUCGAAGGUUAAGAUGCCACGUGGUGCAAAACGCCCACCUCUAAAAAAAAGACGUGGAGGGCUAAGGUGAGAGAAAACUCUGUUUUUAGGAGUCGAAGGUUAAGAUGCCACGUGGCGCAAAACGCCCACCUCUAAAAAAAGGACGUGGAGGGCUAAGGUGAGAGAAAACUCUGUUUUAUUAUUAUAGAUAUGAUUAAUGUUAAAAAAAUAUCACUAAUGUUUAAAAAUAAUAAUUUAUGUAUAAAAAAGUAAAAACAAACACCCGCGCGGUUGCGCGGAUCAAAAUCUAGUUAAAGAGUUAUUAUAUGAGAGACACGUUAUCAGAAAUCACUAAAGUGACUUCUCAAUUAAUAUAUAUGAAGAUAUUAAUCUACUAUAUAUUAAUUUUGGAGCAUUACAACUUUUGAGUGUAGCCAUAUUGACUUACAAUCCUUCGCAUAUAUAUGACAAUUAAUGAUUUUGAAUAAUAAAGAUUUGAUAAUAUUUUUUGUAUCCUCAAUAAUUUUUGUUUAAUUUAUAUUAUUAAAAAAUUUAAACAAUCACAGUAACCAUAUAAUAAAAAAAUCUAGAUUUUGUUUCUUAUAUGUUAUAUUUAAAAAAAUUUAAAACGAUUAUAAAUUACUAAAACUGUUAAAAGUCUUACAAUGAAAAUUUUGUGAACAACGGUUUUAGUUUUUUGUUAUAAAAAGAUACAAAUGAUCACAAAACAUAUCAAUAUAAAGUAUCAUUUAAAUAGAUAUUCAAUCUGAAUAUCUAUUACCGAGCUUAGAACUUUAGGGUUUAGUUAUAAUCUGAACGAAACCAAAAUCCUAACUAUAAUCCAAAGAUAUCAGAAAUUAGUAUAAUAUGUUAAUGUUUUUUUUAUAUAUGUUAAGGCAAUUUAGAUAUUUUAUAGUUCGAAAGAUUUUUGUAGUUUAUUUUAUUUGUUAUCUUGAAUAUCUUUUAGUUAAUUUAGAUAGUUUAACUAAUUUUAAUUAUAUUUAUGAAUAAUUUUAACAUUUUGAAGCUUUUUUCAAUUUUUGAGGUUUAAAAAUAUAUUUUGGGACGAUUCAGAUAUUGGUUACAAUCCGGUCCGAACCGAACCCGGCCUAAUUAUUAGUAAAACCCGAGUGGGACGUAUAAGCAUAAUAUCAAAAUUUUGAAAAUCUGAAUCAAUUGAACCGAAACCGACGGACCCCGAACGCCCAGACCUAUGAUACAUUUAUAUACAAACAUUUGUAUUCUUCAUUUUACAAUCGAUAAAGAUUAUAAUAUUGUAAAAUGUUAUAACCAUUAAAUAAAUAAAUAUUAGUAUAAAAAUCUUACUCCGCGCCGAUUAUCAUCUAGUAAUAUUAUUUGCCAAAAUCAAUAUACAAGGACAUAAAUAUUAAUUCAUAAAUAUAUUAUAUUUAUGAUUUUACCCUAAAAAUUUUUAAAACUAAAAUAAUUUUCUAGCCAGGUUUUUUGUUAUUUUCGUGUUAUAGGGGAGAAAAUGGUAUUUGAGAAUAUUUUAAAAAAUAAAAAAAACAGCAGAAAGUAGAUAAUUGGUUCGAAAUGUCGUUUUAAUAGGUUCAGCGCCAACAAUCAGUCAGGAAACUAUAACUUCACCUUCCAUUCUCUCUAUCUUCUUUUCAAUCAUCUCCAGAAUGGAAUAAACAAUUAGGUAGUUUCGAUUCGAUGCUGCUCAGCUCAUGUCUUCUUACACCAUCAAAGAAACAAUGGCGACUAAAGAUGAAGUCCAGAACGACCCACUGUUGCAGGCAUCAGAAAGUGACGGUCACGAAGAGUUCAACGGAGCUUCUUUCACCGGAGCGGUACUCAACCUGGCAACAGCGAUCAUCGGUGCUGGUAUCAUGGCUUUGCCCGCCACGAUGAAGAUCCUCGGACUUGUUCCCGGAAUCGUGAUGAUCCUUCUCAUGGCUUUCUUGACCGACAAGACUAUUGACUUCUUGCUUAGUUUUAGCGGAGUCGGGAACGCUAGAAGAUCGUACGGUGGUUUGAUGGAAGAUUCUUUCGGCAAAACCGGAAGGAUUGUGUUGCAAGUUGCUGUUCUUGUUACCAACAUUGGGGUUUUGAUCGUUUACAUGAUCAUCAUUGGUACUUGAUCUUUGAUACUAAUCAGAGCUUUUGAUCUUUGGCAUUUGUUUUAACUCUUGUUUGGCUUGAAGGUGAUGUUUUGGAGGGUAUGCUUGAAGGAUGGUUUGGAGAAAGCUGGUGGGACAAGAGAAGUAUUGUUCUUCUCUUUACAACUCUUUGUGUCUUUGCUCCAUUGGCAUCCUUCAAGCGCAUUGGUUAGAACAAUGUGUUGCAUACUUCUCUUAAAAUGAAAUGGAGAGUGUAUCCGGUUGAUUUAUUAUGGCUUCAUUGCAGAUACUUUGAGAUUCACGUCUGCCCUAUCACUUGUUCUAGCGGUUGUUUUUCUAGUCAUCACUGCGGGAAUCGUCGUUACAAAGUUUUACAGAGGUGGUUUGAUGAAGCCAAGACUCUUCCCAAACGUCACUGACUUGUCAUCGGUCUGGAAACUCUUCACCGUUGUUCCUGUGCUUGUCAACGCAUACAUUUGUCAUUCUAACGGUAACGCUUCUUUCUCACUAAAAGGAUUAAACAGGAACUCAUGGUUUUUUGAUGUUUUCAGUCCACAAUAUACAGAACGAGCUUGAAGACUCCAUUCAGAUCAAAGCUGUUGUGCGUUCAGCUCUAGUGAUGUCCUCCUCUGUUUACGUAAUGACAAGCUUGUUCGGAUACCUCUUGUUUGGUGAAUCUACUCUUGAUGAUGUUCUUGCAAACUUUGAUACCGAUCUUAAGAUCCCUUUCGGUCCGGUUCUCAGUGAGGCAGUCAGACUCAGCUAUGCAGCUCAUCUCAUGCUUGUGUUCCCUGUUAUCUUCUAUCCUUUGCGCGUUAACCUGGACGGUCUCUUGUUCCCUACGGCUACUCCAUCACUUACUACCUCUAAUAUGAGGUUUGGCUCCAUCACUGCCGGUCUCAUUGCUGUAAUCUUUGUUGGUGCAAACUUCAUUCCAAGCAUCUGGGAUGCUUUCCAACUCACUGGAGCUACAACUUCUGUCUGCAUCGGUUUCAUAUUCCCUGCUGCUGUCAUCUUGAAGUAAGUCCCCAUUGUUUCUCAUAACAGACUGGUUUUGGAACCUAAUGGAUCAUUUUACCUGAGGGUAUCUCUUCAGGGAUCGUCAUAACCGAGCAACAAAGAUGGACAAGACUAUAGCCAUUUUCGUGAUUGUCCUUGCGGUUUUCUCCAGUGCAGUUGCCAUUUACAGUGACGCUUACGCCUUAGUCAAGAAGAACAAAUCCACAUUUCCAAUGUGAGCAGAAUGGUUUUGUUUGGUUCUCUUACUCUAAGAAAAAAAAAAAACUUGACAACUGUAAGAAUGACCCCUGUGAUUUUGAUCUUUAGAUCUUGUUCAGCUCUAGAUCAAAUAAAAAUGUCAGAAGCGUCCAUGUCUAGAUCAUAUUUGGCCCUAGAACAAUAUCCAAAUUAAAAUACUGUGUUGAACUGAUACAAUUUGUCACUGUGAAUCUUUAAGAUACAGACAAAAAAACAGCAACAAGUGUCUAUUAGGAGUCGUUGGGACAACUCAAAACAAAACAAAAGAGUUAUAAAGAAUAAAAGGUUUACUUUUAGGAAUUUGACUUAUCUCCAUCGCUGGAGUCAGCCGGAGAAGGGAAGCAUUGGCAAUAUCCAUUAAUGCUAUUUCUUGAACUGCUCUGAUCUGAUCACUUUUCUCAAACUCUUUCUUCUUCAGUGCAGCGAAGAGAAGUUAAACAAAGAUGAGAGAUGUUACAGUCACAAGUGAAUAUAAAUCAGUGCAAAAGCUAAAAAAAAUGUUAAAAAACAUAUCUCAAGUAAGCACUGCACCUGAUAAACAUAAUAGAAAGCUUCUGACUAACUGUCUAGCUAAGAAAACUCAGAGGAGACGGGUAGUGUGCACUCAUCAAGAAGUGCCUCAGAGCCAAUGGAUGGUAACUUUCUGUGAUCUACACAAGAUUGAAACAAAAAGACGGAUCAGAACCUGUCAACAAUUCUGCGUUUAGGCCAUGCGAACAAUGAGUUACUAUAUUUGGAAAGAAAAUAGAACAAUACUCAACGGGUUCUCCACACUCUCAUUAGCACGUAUGAUUAUAAGCAAAUUAACUUCAUAACCUAAAUGCUUCAAGUAUCAACGCAAACCCAUGAUAUGUGCAAAGGCUCAAGCUUUCUUUUCUACGAAUCUAAGUUACGAGAGAUGGGAGAAUUGAAAGCAUGCAUCUAGACCUGUAGAGAACGUCGAAGGAGACGACGGAGGCGCGAGCAUGGCCGACUUUUCGCGUGCCCCAAUGUGAAAUGUAGAAUCUCCUAUGGAUUCCUAGAGUCUCAUAUACCCCUAUUUCAUAAUUAUUUUUUUGAUCAAAAUCCAAACUUUCAAAUCAAAUCCUUCCAGGUCAUCAAAACUAAACCCUAACCCUCCCCUAUAAAUUAGUGAACCCAUGGACAAAUAUUUAAAUUCAGAAUAAAAUAUUUUAAAAUCAUUUUUAAUCAUAUUUUGAUGAUUUUUUUGAAAAUAUGGAAAACAACGUUUUUGGAUUUUUGAAAUAUUUUUAUCAAAUUCUAUAAAUCAAAUAAAAAAUAUUAACGUUUCAAUUUUAAUUUUAUGAUUUUUAGUUUGACAUAUAAAAUUAAAAGAACAAAAAGAUCCUUUUGAGAUUGUGUUAUGAGAUAUAAGGGUAUGAGAAGAUUUGUCUCUCUUUGCGGUUAGAAAAUGUAGGAACUGUGACCAAGAUCUAUAGGUGGGAUCCACUCUGUUUCUCCUUGAGCCAUCUUUUUUUUAAUGCUAGUUUAUUAUGAUAUUACAAUUAUGAAAAAAAUUAUAUAGACGAUUCGACAACCAACAAUACUACUUGCCUUAUGAGGAUUUAUGCAUAACUGCAUCAUGCCUUAUGAGGAUUUAUGCAUAACUGCAUCACCUCAGCCGUCCUAUGAAAAUCCACGUUUGGCCGAAUUUAUUUGCGCCAUGUUAAAAAUCCCUUGUAAGCUUUUUUCCGUAAUUUGUAUAAUUGUUUAAUAAAUCGUUUUUUCCGGGAAUUGAAAGUGGACCUCAUGUAAUAUGCAAAAAUUUGCAUAGAGAUUCGAACCCAAACAUGGAUGUAGAAACCUUUAAACAUUAACCAUAUGAUAUAGUGCUUCCACUAAACCAUCUAUCUAAGAUCCUGUUUCAAAGAAAAACUAAAACUUUAAAUAUUUGAUUUCAAUUAUAUACUCCAACAAAAGUUUAUAACUUUAAAUUUUAAAGUUUUGAAUAGUUAAACUUUAAUUUGAGAUUUUAUAUUUUAAAGUUUUAAAAAAAUUAUCUGUUUUCUAAAUAAUCUUGUUAAGUUUCAAUAUUAUCAUUUUAGUUCUUAUAAUUUCUAUAUUUCAUUAAUAUUUUACAUAUAAAAUACUGAUUUGGUUUGCAACUUAUAUCUAACUAAUAAAUAAAUUUAUAUGUCAUUUUAAAAUUUAUUAACUGAUCAUAUAUAAAAACAUUACAAAAUAAUUUUAUUGAGUAGUUUGGUAUUUUAUUUGUAAGUAAUGAUUUAAUUUAAGUUUUUCAGUUAUCAUUUAUCAUAAGAUAGCAUUUUUCUAACCAAUAUUAUAACUAUUAUAACUUUAAUCAAUUUUUAAUUAAUAUCGAAAACUAAAGUGAAUAUAUAAUAAGAUUUAAAAAUACAUUGUAGGUUUUAAUAUUGGAAAGUAACACCCCAAAUCUCAAAUUUAGGGGUUUUCCAACCUUAAAAAUAUGGCUCCUCUUGAAAAUGCUCUAAGUUGGACUAUGGGUUUGUUCAUGGAUAUGAUCAACUGGAAAAAUAGACUGUUUUCAAAUAUCAAAAUUGUAAUCUCGUUACAGAAUUUUCUUCUUUUUUUUUUAAAUUAGAAAUUUUGUUUAUGUUGAAAUAACACUGUCAAGAUAUGUUAUAGUUUACUAAUUAAAUACAGGAUUAGAGUGAGCUUUGGGUUCUAUAUAGAUUCAGUUGCUCCACCACGUAGACCAAAUUGUUUAAAAAUUGCCUCAAUUUUUUUUUUUUUUGGUGUAAAAUUGCCUCAACUUCUUGUUCAUUCUUUUAUUAGAAAUGAUAUAAAGGAGUGGGAUCUUCAAUUUUUACGAGAAUAUAUGCACCCCGAAGAUUUAACUUUGAUCUUUGGUGUUUCCCUAUGUCUGACCGAUAGGGUUUUGUAAUCUGCGGUUUCUAAUUUUCUUAGUGGUAUAUACUCUUCUGCUUUGGUGUGUUUGCUUUGUUCUAAAUUUUCUCAGUGCAUUACAAAUAACAAUCUUGGUUUUGUGGCUUCGCUUUGGUUCGGGGAGUGCCAAUUCCGGUUUUGAUUGGUUGGUUAAAGCAACAAUUGCAAAGUUUUGGUUUAAGGCAAGUCCUUUAUGUUGCGUGACAGUGAAUACUUUUGUGUUGAGUAGUUUAGUAAUGCGUUCUUUCCAUGGUAAUUUAUUAGCUAUGUGCUCUUUUUAACGACGCAAGGCAACAGCUAUCUUUAAGGAGAAUCUUCACACCACUAUUCUGGUGUUUCUCCUCUGGUGGGGAGGUUUUGGCUUUGCUUCUCUUCUCUGAAAUUGACACUCUUUUUACAGCUGAACCUUUCGUUGUCUUUAACUUGGUAGUCUGUGGAACUCUUGUGCUAGCCUCCACGCUUUAAGGAGAAACAAAAUCUAGAGUCACCUUUAUACUCUUAAACAGUUUGCAUAACAUUUGAUGAGAUGUUUCUCAAAAGUCCAUGGCUUUAUAUCUGUAUAUGGAAAAACAUACAUCGACCAUAAGCAAAGUAAAUAAGAUAGAUUUUGAAUAAGGGAACUCUUUUGUUAGGUCAUAGAGCUUGUUCCAACGUCAAAUUAUGAUUCACAUUGUCUGUCUUUUAUGCAUUUUGGUUUGUUUUGUUUUGUUGAAGAUGAAAGUGUAAUGAGCAUUCGUCAAUCGUUUCUUCUCACGUAUAUUAUGACUAUCCGAGUUAAAGAUGCUAAUUAACCAGAGUAAAACUUUGAAAGCUGAUUUAGAUUUUUCAGAGAAGAGAACUCUGUGUAGUAAGAAGCAUUUGAGAUUGAAGAAAAGAACUAGUUCAUUAACAGUUUUGGUUGCACUAGGAUUCCCAGAGUUAAAAGAUGCUUUUUGGUUGCUUACCACAGUAAAAAGAUUGAGACUUGAGUUUGCAAGAGAAAAGAACAACUUUUUAACAGUUAGAAACAUACAGUAGUAAAACUUUGAAAGCUGCUAUUCAAAUGCUAAAUUAACCGCAGUAAAACUUUGAAAGCUGGUUUAGAUUUGAGACCUGAGUUACUAAACUUUAUAAUGAACAGAAACAACAUAUACUAAACAGAGACUUUAAACAGGAGACAUACUAGACCUUCAUGAAUAUAAAGUACGUACUAAACCUUAAUGAACGGACACUAAACUGAAAGAAGUCUGUCGAUUUCUUCAACCCCAAGACUUUGGUCAGAGUUCUCUUAACGGUCUUUGUCUUCCAGAACCUCAACUUCAAAGGCUUCUUGUCUGAAACAGCAACAUCAUCCGUCGCUAGUUUCUUCUUGGAACCUCUUCGUCUGAUUCUCAACUUGAACAGGUUCGACAGAAACGAGUUACUUGUCUUCUCCUCUGUUGUCUUCUCAUCCUCUUCUUCAACUUGUGGACGAGGCAAGAAGGGAUGAAGCAACAACUCAUGCGCGCUUCCUCUCUCCUCAGGGUUCCUCGAGAAACACGUUUGGAUAAAGUCCUUUGCAUCACAAGGAACCGUUUCAGGUAUCUCUGGAGAUUUACCAGAGAGGAGACGAGUAGCGAUCUCAUCUAGUUCGAGGCCUUCCCAUGGAAUCACGCCCGUGUACAUCUCCAGAACCAAACACCCCACCGACCACAAGUCUAGAGACACGUGGGCGAUGCCGUCACGGACCGACUCGGGCGACAUGUAGAUCGCAGUCCCAAGCCACGGGAAAUUAAUUUCCCAACACAGGGGAACCUCUCCUAUCUCUAACGCGUUGCCGAAAUCACAAAUCUUGACCUCGUAUGAAUUUUGUCUCAAAGAGGAAGAAGGGAAGACGAGUAUGUUGUCUGGUUUGAUGUCGCAAUGAACGUAGCCAUGGUCGUGAAUCGAGACCAAACCUUCGAGAACCAUCCGUGUGAAAUCCCUGAUCAACGGUUCAGGCAACUUUCUGUCGGCGUAAUUGUUCAUGAAAGCGUGGAGACUACCUUCGGAAGCAAACUCGAGUUGUAGUUUGUGGAGUUUCUCCCCGAAUCUGCUGAAACUUUGUUGGAGAGAGUCUCCGAGACAUGUGACGAUCCUGGGACAUCCCUUGAGUUGGAGAAGAACGUGGAACUCUCUUUGGAGAGCGUUGUAGUCUUCUUGGUAAGAGUUCUUUACGGCAGAGAGGUAGAAAGAGUUGUCGUCGGGAUUAUUGUAGCGGACGAGAUUAACAAAACCAUAAGCACCUUUGCCUAGUAACUUGACGAAUUCUUCUUUCGUUUGCAUCUUUUCAAUCGGGUUUUGACACAGAAUCGUUGUUCGGAAACGUUGAGAGAAUUAAAAAUAGGAAACUGUGGCGAAGGAGAAGUGAUUUCAGAGUGUUAUAUAGAGAGUUGGGGUUCAGUUAAGUCGGUGUUGCAGACACACGGAAAAAGGAAAAUUGAAUAACAUAAUUUCCUUUUCUGAGAUACUUCAAAAAGGAAAUUCGAAGCGCUGGCCAACGGUUGAAAAAAGGAAAAGAAUUCGAAUUUUUGGUCAUUUAUAAUUAAAAUGUCCAAAUUUAUAACAAUAAAGAAUUUGUCCACGAUUUAGUUAAUGCUUUCAUAUAAAUUUUUAUUCAUGUCGUUUAAUGCUUAAAAUGUAGUUUGGAAAAAUAUAGGAUUAUAUUUAUUUUCAAAAUUUUAAAGCAGAAAAUGGUAUUUGUUUUGAAACUUCCUCAUUAAACAUAAAUGCUGACAAUGUUAAAAGAACAUAGUGUAUUUGUGACAUCUAAAAAAAACUAUAGAACUUCUAGUGGAAAAAUGUUUAAAAUAGUGACUAAACUUUUUGGCUAUAAAUUUGUUAAGCAUGACAAUUUACCUGAAUUCAAAAACAUGUUCACUAGAUCAAAAUAACCAAAACCGGACCAAAACUUUCAAAUAUUUGGAUACUUCUUAUACUUUUAUAUUCAAAAUAAUCAAACCAAAAAUUAAAUAGACAUCUAUAUAAAAAUAAUUUGAGUCGUUUGAUAUAAUUCGAAUCAUCCUAAUUACUCAAUAUUUUACUGAAUCAAACGAGACCUCGGAUCACAAACAAUUUCUAGUUUUACUAUCUAAACUAGUCCAAAAACGAAACUAUCCGAACUUAUUCAAACCAAGAAGUUGGCAGUUCCUAAAAAUACCUGUUCAAAAUAUCUGAUACAUGUAAUAUCUCACACGAGCCGAAUCGACACCCGAAAUGCCCUAGUCUAAUUUUGUAUUUGAUUUAAAAAAAUCUAACUUUUAAUACACAAAAAAAUUCAGGCUUUGUUUUAGAAAUUUGAAAGAUUUAAUUAAAAAUUGUUGCUAUAACUAAAAAUGUAGUAAUAUUAUAUAUAUAUACUUAUAUAUGAUAUGUAUUAGUUAAUAUUUAGGAAAUUAACAAAUAUGAUAAAGCAAUAAACUGAUACAAUUAAUUAGAUUUAUAAAAUGAAAAUAAAAAUAUCUUAUGUUAAAGAUUUAUUGUUAAAUAGUGUUUUUGGAAUUAUUUUCAUACUUUAGUAGUAUAUCAUGACUCAUUUAAAUCAUAAUGGAGAUGAUGUAAGGGAAAUUCUAUCAAAUAGCUAUUUUUAAGUUUUUGUCACAAAAAUAGUCCUCACGAAAGAAAAUGAUCAAAAUAAUCUUUUUUUUUAUUUUAAAAAUUUUAAUAUUUAUUUUUAUUUUUCAAAAUUUGAAACCCUAUUCCCAAAACCUCACCCCUUAACUCUAAACCUUAAUUCUAGAUUAGUUAACCCUAGGAUAAAAAUACAUUUUUAUCAUUUAGUAAAACUUAUUUCGAUCAUUUUCUUCGUUAGAGGUUAUUUUUGAAAAAAAAACUUAAAAUGACUAAUUUGAACUGAAUAUAUAAAAUAAAUAUAAAAAACUUCAUUAGAGGCUAUUUUAUUCAUGAGGAUUUUUGUGAAUAAACUCAAAAUAAAGCUAAAUCGAUAUCAGUUUGAACCUCAUGAGUCCCUCUUAAAGUGUUUUUCAAAUAUCAAAUACCUUAAAAUUUGUUUGAAUGUGGUAAGAUGAUCCAGUAUACUCCUCUUAGUGUUUUGUUAUCAGUGAAAUCACUGAAUGACCAGAUAAUAUCGUAAUUUGUUGGCUGGAGUCAGCUUAUUAUAAGUUUUGGUUCGAUCCUUUUAGAAAUAGUAAAUGUCGGUUCGGUUCAGAUCGAAUCGGUUUGGUUCAACAAAACAAAUCAACACCUGAGUCCCCCCCCACCACCACCCAAACGCCUCCAUAAACCUCAUGUGCUUUGUUCAGAGGAUCUCGUCUUCUUCUCUUUCUAAUCGAAAAUGGGAACGUUGGGACGAGUAAUCUACACUGUGGGUAACUGGAUUUGCGGGUCUGGGCAAGCUCUAGAUCGCAUCGGUUCUCUUCUUUAAGGGAGUCACCGCUUGGAAGAACACCGUGAGCCACAUUCAAACCCUAGAUCCAAAUCCACAUCUCUAAUUUGUCGCUUACAAGAAAAGAUCUGUUCAUAUUCGAGAAAUUGGUGGUCUAAUUUAGGCUCUCGUUUUCCAUUGGUUGUUGAUGAGUGUGUUUGACAUCUUAUGUUACCUGCGGACAAACAUAUAUCAAUUACCAUUUCGAUUAAAAACUGUUGAACCAUGACAGAGAUCAACAUUGCAAUACUCUCGGAUUACAAUAGACAAUAACAACCGUAAUUUUCAGAAGAAAAAAAAAGAAACUGAAAACGAAGAUGGAGGGCAGAGAGAUAACCAUUUAGGGAGCUUCGGAACGCGAGUAUGCUAUUGAAGCUAUCAAAGUAACUUCUCCAUUACUCUAAGCGACUAUGUGAUAGAUUCCCUAGAAAUUAUCUGCAUAGAGCAAGACUCAAAGUUGGAGUUAUACUUCACUUGUCAUUAUGUAAUCAAGACAGGAGGUGUGUGUUUCCAUUGAUUCUCGAGGUUCUACAAAAAAAUGGUGUAAAGACAAAUGACGGAGUUGUUCUUGCAGUCGAGAAGACUAUCACGUCACCGUUACUGGUAAACUCUCCAUGUGAGACUUUUGGUGGGUUCUGCUCUUUGCUUUUUUAAAGUCUCUCCUUCUUUUUUUCAGAAGCCGGGCAGUCUGGAGAAAAUCAUGGAAACUGAUGACCAUAUAUGUUGUGCAAUGACUUGUCUGAUUGCUGAUGCAUGUAAUACUUGUUGAGCACGCACGAGAGGAGACUGAAGUGAGACCGCUCUCUGUUCCUACUUCCUAAUCAGCUCUGCCUAAGAAGGGUCAUAACUUUUUCUUUUUCUUUUACUUCAGACUUAUGAUUUUUAUGAUGGGAUCAUUUGUAAACACGAUUCAGAUUCACAAUUGAAUUGAACGAAAUGAAAACAUAGUUUUCUUAAAUUGACACUUGUCCUGUUUUUUAAACCUGAUCCCCCCUGCACAAAGUUAUGUAUUGAUUUUGGCCUUGUGAGUUGUGGCAUAAUAUGAGUUAGACCACUUAACUAGUACCACUUUUAGUUACAACAGUACAUGCGGCACCAAGCAAGGAUUGUGUCUUUAAAAGGAGGCGUUAUGAAUUUACCUCUUGAUAGAGUUAUAAGCGCAAUGACAUUAGAGUUUGGAAAGAUUUGUUUUGGUGAGAAGAAUAACAAUACAUGCAGUUUGAUAGGAAUAGUUAACAUUUUCUUAAGGAAUACAAUAUUACAUCAAACCAUUUCAUAAAUGUUAAAGUAAAGAUAGAACUCGGAUCAGACAUAACGGUUGUAAGGGAUACAAAUCAGAUCCAUCCAACCAUUUCCGUUGAUAAAGGUAUAAACCGAGUACUUCUGAGCUUCUUCGUCCGUCAUAUUGGGUUUGUACACAGUCUACACGGUUGCUAAGACCCAAACCCCAGUUCCAGUGUUCUUGUACUCUCCAUACCUCAACGUCCUAGGGUUCCAUGUGAUCCAACCCCUCGGCUCAACCAUGUCUCCUAAAAACAUCUUCAUAACAAGAACCGUUGCAAACGGCUUCCAAGGUCAUCCAAGUUACAGAGCCGGCUCAGAGGACAAACCACACAAACCAUCGUUUAGUGCAUACAAUACGAGAAAACAUAAUAUAUUUAUUAAUAAAAGUUAUAUAAAUAAUACUAAUAUUUUUAUGAUUAUUAUUAUUAUUAUUAUUACUAUCAAAUAAAUACAAAUUAUGUUUAUAAACUUAAUAAAAUUAUAUAAAAUAUAAGUAAAAAUUAUUAAAAAUAUAAGUAAAAAAUAUAUAAAACAUAAGAAAAAAUAUUAUCUUUUAAAUGUGAGAUGUUGUAUUAACAAAUGAUUUUAGUAAUUACGACUGAUUAUAGUUAAAAUGUUGCUGAUAAUAUUAACAAAUAUUACUAUACAAUUAACUUUAUAAAAUUAUAUUUAAUAAUUAUUAAUGAAGUUGAAUUAGUUUAAAGUUUUUUGUGAUAUCUUAUAUUUUACAUAUAUAUAUAUAUAUAUAUUAGGAAAAAAUGUAAAUAUAUGUUGUUAAAAGUUUGUAAGGCAUCUAAAAGUGUUGGACCUUGUUAUGGCAUGUUCGUGCUGUUGAAAAUCACGAAGCCUGGGAAAUAAUUUGUAAGGCAUCUAAAAGUGUUGGACCUUGUUAAACGAACAGAGGUAGGGGUGGACACUUUACCCGAAAUCCGAAGUGGCACCUAAACCCGAUCUGAAAAACCCAAACCGAAAUCCGAACCGAAGUAGCAAAAUACCCGAACGGGUAUUAAAUUAGGAGAGAUUGGAUAUCCGAACCCGAACGGAUAAUAUCCGAACCCGAAUGGAUAUCCGAAGAUAACCGAACAUAUAUAUAAUUAACUUUAUAUUUCUACUUUACAUCUCUCAUUUUAUAUAAAACAUUUAUAUUGAUAUUACAUAUACUUUAAGUUCAUAUGAUAUAUAUAUAUAUAUAUAAUUAUGAAAAAAAUGAUUUGCUACUCACUUAAAAUGCAUGUCAAGUUUUUUACUUCAAAAAUUAACAAAAAGUUACAUCAAAAUUUUAAAAACAAUAACUAAAUUAAUGUUUUUUUAGUUUUAAAAUGUUAUGUCCAAAUCUAUUAACCAUUCAAUCUAUUAAAAAUAAAAAAUAAGUUAAGUGAAAUUUAUAUUUUUAAAUACAAGAAAUUUGAGAAAUUAAAAUUGAAUUUUUUUCUUUCAAAAUCUAAAUAUCCGAACCCGAUCCGAAAUAACCGAAACCGAACUAAAAAUACCCGAACCCGACCCGAAGUACAGAAAUAUCCGAACGGGUUCUACACUUGUAUACCAAAAUACCUGAAAAUCUCAAAUACCCGAUCCGAACCCGAACGGGUAUCCGAACGCCCACCCCUAAAGAUGGAUAUCGUAAUUUGAUGGCUGGAGUCAGCUUAUUAUAAGUUUUGGUUCGAUCCGUUCAGAAAUAAUAAAUGUCGGUUCUGUUCAGAUCGAAUCGGUUUGGUUCAACAAAACAAAUCAACACCCGAGUCCCUCCCCCCACCCAAACGCCUCCAUAAACCUCGUGUGCUUCAGAGGAUCUCGUCUUCUUCUCUCUUUCUAAUCGAAAAUGGGAACGUUGGGACGAGUAAUCUACACUGUGGGUAACUGGAUCCGCGGGUCUGGGCAAGCUCUAGAUCGCGUCGGUUCUCUUCUUCAAGGGAGCCACCGCUUGGAAGAACACCGUAAGCCACAUUCAAACCCUAGAUCCAAAUCCACAUCUCGAUUCGAGAAAUUGGUGGUCUAAUUUAGGCUCUCGUUUUCCAUUGGUUGUUUUGAUGACAGUAUCGAGGCAUCGGACGUUGAUGAGUGUGUUUGAUAAAUCACCAUUGGUGGAUAAGGACGUGUUCGUGGCUCCGAGUGCCUCUGUUAUUGGUGAUGUUCAGAUUGGGAAAGGCUCCUCUAUUUGGUAUGGCUGUGUUCUUCGAGGUAAAGGCCUUUUCUUUCCCACUAAAUCCUUUAAAAUGUUUUGUCUUUGGUAGCGUUAAGGCAAAGCCAAAUGAUAUUUGGUUGUUGGGAAUAGUAUGUCCCCCACAAAGACUUAAAAAACAAGAUUUGAUAUAAAUUGCAAGCCAAGUAUCAAAUUUGCAGCAUUAUACUUUGCAAGAUCGUGUGCAUUCGUUACAGUUUAGAUCUUUGCUGAUUUACUUGAUUGUCCUUUUCAUUUGAAGGUUCUAGGUUUAGUGUAUUCCUGAUGAGACGUUGUGAAAUAGCUGGAACUCAUUGUAACUUUUGUGCAGGUGAUGUGAAUAACAUCAGUGUUGGAUCUGGGACCAACAUCCAAGACAAUUCUCUUGUACAUGUUGCAAAAACCAACUUAGCUGGGAAGGUUUUGCCUACUACAAUUGGGGACAAUGUCACAGUAGGUAAACUUCUAAAACUGAUUUAUCAGCUUUUGAGAAUCUGUUUUAUGUAAUGUGUUCUGUUGCAUGAUUCUUACUUAAAAUCUUUGUGUGUAAAAAUUAAACCGAGCAGGUCAUAGUGCUGUCAUACAUGGUUGUACUGUUGAGGAUGAGGCUUUUGUUGGCAUGGGUGCUACACUACUCGAUGGUGUAGUGGUUGAGAAGCAUGCCAUGGUUGCUGCUGGUUCCCUUGUGAGAGAGAACACACGAAUCCCUUCUGGAGAGGUUUCUUUCUAUUCUCUUUUUCUUUUCUGGUUUACUUUCUACUGCGUUUGUGAUAAACAUAUUGACAAGUUAACAAACAAUUCAUGUGGCAGGUAUGGGGAGGAAACCCAGCAAAGUUCAUGAGAAAGUUAACAGAUGAAGAGAUAGCAUAUAUCUCAAAGUCGGCUGAGAACUACAUCAACCUCGCACAUAUUCACGCAGCAGAGAACUCAAAGUCAUUUGAAGAGAUCGAGAUUGAGAGAGCGCUUAGGAAGAAGUAUGCACGCAAGGAUGAGGAUUACGAUUCAAUGCUUGGGAUUGUCCGUGAAACUCCAGCGGAAUUGAUUCUCCCCGACAAUGUCUUACCGGAGAAAACUACCACCAGGGUUCCAACUACUCAUUACUGAUUCACCCGCCUCAGGUUGUUUUGCAGACAAAGAUUGAUUAAGUCAAGAGAGAUAUUAUCUUUUGGUUUUGCCCUUUUUUUCUUCCGAGUAAGCAUGGGAUUUGUUAUAUUCUUGCUCAAUAAAGCCGAAAAGAACAUGUACUGUUGCAUUAUGUCACAUUUGUUGGAUGAAUAAUUGCAUAAAGAAAAACGAUUUGCAUUCAUUGUGUUCUUCUCUUUUGCUGAUGAUGAUGAAAAUGAGUUUGGUUUCAAGGAUGAAUUAGUGUAUAGAGAUCAUGAUUUCUGAAUCCAAGUUAUAAACUAUUAGGACUUGGUGUUUUGGUUUAGUUUUUUGAGUUCUUAUUUUGCUAUUAAGACUUGGUGUUUUACUAUUUAAGCAAGGUUUUUUUUUUGCAUUGGUGUUGCUGUUUUGGACUAAAAUGUGGUUGAUUUGGUGUGUUUGGUUCUAGCAUACAUAUUUUACAAAGAUGCUGAUGAACUUAAAGUGGGACUAUAAGAUGGUUUGAAUACGUUUUCUAUAAUGCAUACGCAUGGCAUUUGGCUGAGUCUCAAGACCAAACCAAGCAUUGCGUGACUAAUAACAGAGACAUCACUGGAAGCUGACAAACAAUAUUUGGUCAGUGGAACGAGCAGGACCUGUGUUGCCUUGUCCCAUCCACAGACCACCGCUUAUCAAUAAUCCAGACAGUUCUCAGGGAUAUACCGAUUCGUAACAUCUAAUAAGAUGGCACCAGCAUAAAUUCUAAACAAAACAAACCUGAUUCAGUUUGCUUAGGUAAAAACUAUUACUGAAAAUUGUAACCUCAAAAAAAACACACAAAGAUUUCACGCUGAGUAAAAAGCAAAAUACUUGGGACAUAGACUGAUUUUUAAAUUCAGCUUGGAACUUUAACACCAAAGAGCUAAAGACGGACACAGUUAUAAUUCCAAAGUUAUUUGUGAUCAAACUCUAACACUCUCACUUUCUCACAUUUCCAUUGGUGCAACAUCCUGAUCACCUGCACCACCUUGUUCUGCAGCAGCAGCUUCAGCCUCGGCCUCACCACCAUCCUCCUCUUCCUCGGGAACGUUCUCAAACGUAUCAAUCACCUUCUGUAUGCUAUCCUGGUCCAAGAAAUGGAAUGGUUCAUCGACUCCUAGAACAGAAACGGUGCAGAGCGAGCUCUUGAGUGUCUCCCCUUGCAAAGUUUCCCUUAUGGCCAAAAUAGCAUCUUUGAUCAGAUCUUCUCUUGAUGACUCAUUGAAGCUCUCGAAUCUUCGUUCUAGAUAAGUUUUCGCAGCUUGUGAACGUGACCCGAUGGCGAACGCUUGGUACUCAAAGUAGUUUCCGCUGGGGCAGUUGUAGUAGAGGUGGGCUCCUGACUCGUCCAGUCCCCCUACCAGCAAACCCACACCAUAAGGUCGUUUCCAUGACCGUUGGGUACAUACCUGCUCAGAAAAAAAGUAUGAAGAGGGUAAACACAAGAUCAACAAACAAGUUCAACGAUCAAUAAUACCAGAGUUUUGUUCAAAGUACAAGAUUAAUAUAUGAGGCUUAUGGUCAGAAAUCAACCGAGAAAAAUGUCAAUAGAGCAGCUAACUAGACCUGUUGAAGCUGUGAAUACAUUAUUAAACUUAGAACUCUAAAUUAGACGCCAAAGUGAACAUAUACCACAAAGUUUCUAUUGCAAUUGUAAAACAAGAUCGUACUGGACGAGCACAAGAGAGGGUGAGUACACACCACAAGUGAACACACACAAAGUAGCGCAAGUUGAAACCACAAAAACCAAAAAGAGAAGAGCGAAGACUGUAUAUCCAAUUUUGCUUACAAAAUUGAAGAUAACAAAAGAUGCAAACAGCAACAAACACAACUAAAGUAUAAAAGCAGGCACAUUCUUAUACAGUUAUAUUGCCUCAAGUUGAUAACUUGUACAGCAUUCCCUUGUUAUAUUUUUGUUGGUAAAAUUCAAUAUUCGAACCCAUGACCUCUAGCACAAAACUAUGUCACACUGUCUAAAGUCAAUCUCUUUUGUUGUAUGUAAAAUUCAAUAUUCGAACCCACGAACUUGAGGUUUGGAAUGUUAAAGUGUUCUUAUCACAAAGCUACUAUGGUCACAUUGGUCUAAAGGCUAUGUAUGUCUUUUUUGUAAAAUUCAAUAUUCGAACCCAAGACCUUGAGGUUUCAAACGUUAAAGUGUUCCUACUACCACAAAGCUACUAAAAAGGCUAUAUCUUUGUAACUCAAGAGGCGGCGAGAGGAGGGAAAGGAGUAAACCUGGGCCUUAUCAGCAAGACGAACGACGAGGCGGCCAACAGGGAGAGGAGACUCAUAGGUGAAAGAGUGAUUGAUGGAUUCAGAUCUCAUGUAACGCGAGAGCACACGGCCAUCGGCGGUGAGUCCAGCGAUGGCGACACCGAUGUGGUCAUCGACUUUGAAGAUCUUCCUUUGGUGAGAAGAGAGCUCCGACUGGGCUUUAUUGACGGAGGCGAGGACGACAUGGGAGCGAGAUCUGAGCCCGAUUGCGGCGGAGCCUUGCUUGACGGCUUCCAUGGCGUACUCUACUUGGAAAAGACGACCGGUGGGACUCCAUGUUGUCACGUCUGUGUCGUACUGGUUCCUGAACAUCCUUGCUUCUUCUUCUUCGUCUUUGUUCGUCAAAAGAGUGUGUAUAGAGAGAAAGACGCAGUGAAAGAGGAAAAGCUUUUCGUUUGGUUUGGUUUGGUUUCUCUUUGAAGGGACGUAGAUGGGCUCUUAUAAGACCUAGAUGGGCUUACAUAAAUCUAAAAUGCCCAUAGAAAAUAGAGCAAUUGGCGUGCAUUGCAGAAAAUCAUGUAAACAAAUGCUCAAGUCUUAUUUGAAACUGAGUAUAAUUGUGGUUAUUUACCAUUUAAUCAUUUCUCUUUCUUAUCGCUACUUCCUACUCCCUAGAGUUUAACUUAUAGCAAGAGCCGGCCUUGGAAACAAAACGAAGCUUGUGUUUCUGGCCGCCAAAUAUUAAGAUAAUAACCAGCCACAUAUGGACAGUAAAUUCUCAGUAGCAUAGUGGUUGGCGUGUGGUUACAAGUAUUACAGGGUAGCAUAUUACUUGUAGUUGGCUUUGCUUAUAGCAGACUAGUAAUAUUUAUAUAAUAUUUUAGUUAUAUAUUUAUCUCAUAUUUCAUUUAUAACUAGGUGUUUUUAGCACUAUGUGCAGUAAUAAUUUUUAAAAAUUUAAAUCAUCUUUAAAAUAAAUUUUAUUAACAUUUUAGAUUUUAUUAUUUUUACCAAUAUUUUAAUAUAAAUUUAAUUUAAUUAAACAUAAAAUUAAGAUAAAAUACUGUUUUCUUUAUUUUAAAUUAUAUUUAAGAAUAUAUAUAUAUAUGUAUAUUUUUAAAAUUUUAACCUUAGAUAUAUUUUUCACUCUAUUUUUUUUUUGGUUAAAAAUAUUAAUCAACUAUAAAAUUAAUAAAAAAAUGAUAUAAAAUUAUAUCAUUAUCAAAAAUUAAAACUAAACAGUAUUUAUAAAAUUUAUGGGUAUAUAAAAGAAACUAAUGAUACUAGGAUUAAAAAAUUAUAAGUUUUUUAAAAAUUGUAGAAAAUUUUACAAAAUUUAGUAAUAAAAAUUAUAUAAUUCUAAAAAGUAAAUUACAUAAUAUUAUGCAUAAGCCAUGUCAUCAACUUUAGUAGCUAUGUCUCAUUUUUUAUGUAAAAAUGAUUGUAGAAAAUGAUUGUACGUAGAGAGAACAUGUGAUAAAUCACUUCUAAAAUAAUGUCUAUGGGAUCUAAUUUUCUCUUUCUUUUUCAGGUGCUUUUGUUCGACAGAAUUACAAAAGUUAUAAUCACUACUGAAGGAAAAGAUGAAGAUGUUGUCCUUAAUAUGUAUGUAGUCAUCCUAUUUUUCUGCUCAUUUCGAUAUUUUUUUCUAUUCUCUAAGUAAUUUUCUUUCGCACCUCAUGUGAUCUUAGUACUUAUAAAAUCAAAUUUGUGUCUAUUUGAUAAAGACUGGAAGCAGUUAAAGGAGAGAGAGGAGCUGGCUGUGAAAGCCAAAAGGUUUGAUGAUAGUAAUGAUAUCAUAAAUUGUUUUGUUGAGUUUGAAUUAACUCAUUGUGCCGAAUUGGCUCAAUUUGUUUAAAAAAAUGAAGUCAAUAUAUUUUAGAUUUUAUAUAUAAGAAUGUUUAUUUUUACCAGGUAUGUGUUUUUAAUAAUUGAAGGUUGUGUAAUUUUAUAAAAGGAUAUCACUUACAUUUUUUAGUCUAAAUUACAUAUAAAAAUGAUGAUUAGGUAAAUUUGUUGAAAAAAUUAAGUAUAACUUGUAAGUUAAUAUCAAGUUGACAUGAAAUACUCUGAUUUAACCAUAUAUUCUAUUUAAAUAGAAAUCAACAUAACCUUUACUCUGACCUCAGUGGAUUCUUUCAUCAACGUAACUUCACGAACAUGGAAUACCAGACAAUUCUGUCUUUGGUAGAUCCCUAGGAUGUGAAUAUUAUUGAAAGUAUACCAUUGAGCUUGACUCGUAUAACAUACAGAGAUGGAUGUCAUUUUACCAAUAAUGGAAAAUACACUGUGAAAUAUGGAUAUCAAGUGGAACGAUUUUUUCCCGACAGAGAAAAAGCGCACUGAAGGCUUUUUGUUGGAAAGUAUGUUACUCCCUAAAAAUAAAACACUUCCUUUGGCAACUAGUAUCAGAAUGUAUAUAUAGCGGUUAAGAAAAACUUGAGAGCGAGACAUAUUCAGUGUGAUAUAUAUUGUGUCAGACAUAGAGCAAUUGAAGAAACAAUAAAUCAUGUGUUUUUUAAAUGUCCUCCAGCGGUGCAAGUUUGGGCACUUUCAUAGAUCCCAUCAAAUCAAUAUAUUUUUCCGGUUCAAUCAUUCUUUACAAAUAUGAAUCAUCUGUUUUGGAUAGUUUCUCCGCAUAUGGAAAACCAUAAACUUGCUUAGGUUUUAUGGUACAUUUGGAGAGGACGAAACAACAAAGUUUUUAGUAAUUUGGAUACUGAUCUGAGGGAUACUCUCAAAUUGGCAGAGACAAAAUCAUUACUUUGGGCAGAGGCUCAAGAUACUCUUACUCAGAGGGUCGUCCAAUCUAGGGAUGUAGAAGACUCAAUUUUACCUUCCAUACCGAGAAGAUGAUGUUUUACGGAUGGAUCAUGGAAAGAAUAUGAAAGUCAUUCGGGACACAGUUGGUAUAGCAUGCUUGAAGGCUUUCAUGAACUGAUGGGAGCAUGCAAUACCAGGGCCAGUCUUUCACCCCUUCAUUCGGAAAUAGAGGCGCUUAUUUAGGCAAUGGAAUGUGAGAGGAAUUUAAGGCAAUAUCAUGUCAGUUUUGCAAUGGAUUGUUCUCAAUUGGUGAAGAUGGUUUAUGAACCAGAAAAAUAGCCAGCCUUUGCAAGUUAUUUGGAAGAUAUCAAGUUCCUAAAAUGAUGUUUCAACCAUUCAGACCUCAUUCAUAUACCUAGAACACAUAAUACCAGGCCGAACAGCCUCACACACAGUGCGAGGAGACAACCAUCGUUCGUCGUUCAUAUGGAUGCAGAAUUACCAGCUUGGUUUGCAGAGUCUUCAUGAGUCUGUUUAUGUCGAUGACAAAAAAACAUAUUUGAAGAUGAUAUUUUAUUUCAUUUCACUUGAUAUUAGAACAAAUUAUAGUUAUAUAAUCUUAUAAAAGGAUACCAAAAGCAUAUUCGACCUAUUAUAUAGAAACAUUGACUUAUUUUGAGAAGCUUAAAUACAAAUCAUAGUAAAUAUGUACGUCAAACUAUCUGUACUCUGACAUUUCUAGAUCCUCCAUAAGUUAAUGUCGUUGUACUCCAACUUCUCUAGAUAUUCUACAUUUUUUUAUUUAUAAAUACCAGUUACUUGAUCAGUUGAUGGAUAUGUUAUUUUAUUAAAAGAUAUUUCUAAAAGUAUAGUUAUGUGAUUGCACUAGUGAUUAACCAUUUUUUAGAAAGCUUGUCAUGUAUGGAUUGUUGGAUGUAAAAAGUCUACCCGUACAAGGAAACAUAAAAGUAGCUCUCUAAAAAAUCACAACAACAUAAUAUUGAAAAGGUUGUUAGCUGGAUAAAACUUUCUAAGUACAACUAAUAUUAAUUUUAAUUGUACUUAAAAGGUUUUAUCUGGUUAACAACCCCUUUCAAUCUUAAUAUAGUUUUCAUUUGAAAAUUGUGUCAAUUUGAACAUUUUGAUGAUCAAUCAUGCGCAUUUAUUAAAAGAAGGAAAGCUCUAGAUGCAUGUAAACUAUUAUUUUUAGUAAAAAAUAGUUACAAGGAGAAAACACUUUGAACAUGUGAAAACCAAAUGUUUUUCUGUAAACUAAUACUAGUUUAUUAUAUAUGCAUGUAACAUAUCAACCAAUUUUUGUGUGCAGAAAAAUUGUUAGAAUUAGUGUAAGCAUCAACUAAAAAUAGUUUUAAUAAUCAUGGUCAUAUCCACGAGAUCUAACAUCUUCAUUAGUGGCUUCUCAUGUCAACAACUUUUCCUAUGCCACAAUCACUGGAACCACCCACCACCACCACCACCCAUUUUAAUAAAGCUAUCAUCUUUUUACAUUCUAGUAAGGAACCAAAAUUGCAUCAGCUUCUCCAUUCCCUUGAUCCCUUUCACUCUCAUCAAAGAGAUCUUGUUGCGGAUUCCCUUAUCAAUCAUCCUUUUAAUCACUGGUAGUGGCAAUAACUUAUCACCAUGCAUAAGCUUGUUACGCUCUCUCCAUACUGCAUACAGAACUUCUUGGAAAGCAUAUCUUAUACAGAAGAGGCUCAUCUUUUCUCUUUUCUCAUCCAAUAGAAUAGCCAAGAUCUCAGACCAGAUAACUGUAUAGGAGUCUCGUAAAAUACCUUUGGCUAUAAACUCCCAUAUCUGUGCAUAGUAAUCACUUUCGAAGAAUAAGUGACUCCUCGUUUCUGCAGCAUUUUUACAGAGCACACAUGUAGUGUCCAGUCCCUGGCUCCAUCUUGAUGCUCUGUCUAAGGUCGACAUUCUAUCUCUUAUCAACAACCACACCAUGAAUGCAAACUUUGGAGUUUCUUGAGAAAACCAUAUACCCCGAGCCCAAGAGCAUUGUGUCUUACUCUCUCUGAGCAACAACCAAGUUUCACUAGUUGAAAAUCUUUGUUUAAAUCCUGAUUUCCCUUUCCAUAGACUCACAUCCUUUCUCUCUUGAUUUAGCUUUCCCCCAAUAAUAAUCAACUCCUCCUCUAUUUCAAUGAGUAAACUCAUACGGUGUCAUGCGUCUCCUUCUAGUAUUUAACACAGCUUCCUCCAAAGUCGCAACCCUACUCACUCCCAAGUCGAUAAUGCCUCGAGGCCCUAGCAAAUCAAAGAGAGCUCCCUUAUUCGACCAGUUAUCAAACCAGAAAGAUAUAUGUCUUCCAUUACCCAGCUAUUUCUUGUGAAACAUCUUUGCAACUUCUCUAAGUUUCAAUAUUUUACGCCACAUCCAAGAUCCAUUCUGAGUAUUGACGCUUAAUUUCCAGAAACUUUUCCCUUUCAGAAAAUUUUCUUUGAUACAUUUACCCCACAGCGAGUCACCCGAUAACAUUAUCCAUAUCAACUUAAGGCCAUAUACCUUAUUAACUUCCUUUAGAUCUCUUAGUCCCAGACCACCUUCACUCUUCAUACUACAGACAUCUCUCCACGCUACUUUGGCAUUUGACGACUUAAGUAUUGGUCCUGUCCAAAGAAAUGUUGCGCAUUGCUCCACCUCUUUAAUACAAGCACUUGGGAGACUAAAUACUACUAACCAGAAGUUUGAUUAGACUCAUUAAAACUUGUUUUAUUAACUGCAGUCUACCGGCAUAUGACAAGAAUCUGCACGUCCAAGAGCUUAUUCUGCUUCUGAUAUUUUCCAGUAGCGAAAGAUAGUCUUGCUUCCUCAUCACUUGGGUCAUAAGGGGGAGUCCCAGAUACCUCACUGGAAGUUCACCUUCAGCAAAUGGGAAGUUAGUUAAGAUACUCCUUUUCUCUGCCUCCGGUACUCCUGCCAUAUAUAUUGUAGAUUUCUCUAGGCUAAUUUGUAACCCUGACCACUCUUCAAACUCAUCAAACACAGAAAGGGGCUCCCUCUAUAGACUUUUUAGAACCUUCAACGAACACCAUUAAGUCAUCUGCAAACAAAGAUGUGUUCUAGAAAGCUUCUUACAUCCCGGAUGUAGUUUGAACUUCUUAUCAGCCACUGCUCUAUCUAUUUUUAAAGAUUGCACGUUCAUAUAGAGAACAAACAAAUACGGAGACAGAGAACAUCCCUGACGAAGACCCCUCGAGCUUUGGAAAUAGCCAGCUAGAUCACCAAUGACUUGCAGAGAACAGGAUGGGCUUGUGAUACAUAGCUCAAUCCAAUGGAUAAACCUUUCCGGGAAACCCAAUACCCUCAAACUCUUCAGAACAAACUCCCAUUGCACCGAGUCGAAUGCUUUAGCAAUGUCAAUCUUCAUAACACACCUUGAAGACACUGCAUCCUUGUGAUAACCCUUAACAAGCUCAGAUGCAAGCAGCAUAUUCUCCAUGAGAAGUCUACCUUGUAUAAAAGCCGGCUGAGUCUUUGUUAUGAUUCUUGGAAGUAGCUUCUUCAGUCGAUUUGCCAAAAAAAUUGACACAACCUUAUAGAGUACGUUACAGCAUACAAUAGGAUGGUAAUCUUUCAUCUCCAUCGAAUCAAAUUUCUUAGGAACUAACGCAAGAAUUGUCGAAUUAACACCCUUUGGCAAAAACCCAAAUCUGAAGACUGAUUGUACCGCAACAAUGAAAUCCUGAGAUAUAACCGACCAAGCUGUUUUGAAAAACCCACACGGGUAGCCGUCUGUCCCUGGAGCCUUGUUGUUCGGCAUAGCAAAGAGAACUUUCUGAAUUCCAUCUUCAGUAACUUUUGCUUCAAGAAUACUACAAUCCUCAGAUGAGCAACGAAACUUUAGCAAUUCCUGUAACUCCUCCUCAGAUGCACCCUUGUAAUUCUCUGGCUUGUGAUUUAGAAAUUCUGAAAAAAAAAUUCUCUGCCUCUUGCUUUAUCUCUGAAUGUUUAGUCACCACUCUUCCAUAUGUACAUCUUAUCUCCCUGAUCAUGUUCUGAGCUUGUCGGGUUUUGAUAGCUCGAUAAAACGUCUUAUUAUUCUUAUCUCCACUAUCUAGCCAAUGUAGCUUCGCUUUCUGCUUUAAGUAUUCUUCUUCUAGACUUGCCACAUGUAGGCAUUUACCAUAUGUUUAUGCCUCCUCUUUGACAGAUGCUUCGCUCGGAUUUGCUAGUGUGUUACUCUGCUUCACACAUAGCAGAUCAUACGCCUCUUUUGCUCGAAUUGUUAAGUUGCCCAUCUUAUCUCUUCCCAACUCACGAAUCAACGGCUUCAAAUGCUUUAACUUCUUUGAGAAUCUGAACAACGCCGAGGUAGAGUGAAACAGUCUUUUCGUUGUAUCCCAAUACCUCUGGACCAUAGGAAGAAAGUCAGGCAGGCUACCUAUCACAUUGAUAUACUUGAAGGGUCUUUUGACUUUCUCACUCGGAGGAAACAGUUGAACUUUGCACCUCAUGUGAUCCAAACAUCCCCCUGCUUCAAAAACUGCAUAAGCAUUACUAAAUCUUUGCAGACCCUCUUUAUUUAGUAAUACCCUGUCCAGCUUCUUGCAAAUUACUCCAUCCUCCCUCUUAUUACUCAUGUAAACUGUGGCCCUUGAUAAUGUCAGAGAGCUGACACUGAAGAACCAAACUCUGAAAGUCUCUCAUUCCACACGGGAUCCUACUCAUGUUAUCAAACCUCGAACUCUCAGCUCCAUCAAGAAUUUCAUUAAAGUCUCCCAUGAUCAUCCAAGCUUUAUUUUUGAAGCUAGGAGAACUAUGAUGAUGCACAAGAUCCUCCCACAAUUCCUUCCCACCCUCUACUUGAUUACUCACAUAUAUACAUCAGCAAUAGAACUUUUCUUCUCCUUUCAUCUCCACCAAACAAAUGACUAUCUGAUCAGAUUUAUAUACAGGCAUCAUACGAAUCGUAUCUCUCCAUAAUAACCAUAUUCUUCCUCCUUGGCUAUCUUCGUAAUUUGUUAUUGAUGACCAAUCUCCAAACAGUACUCCUCUUAAAAUCUUCCAUGCUUUCCCUUCCUUAACUCUAGUUUCCAAUAUACAACCAAACUUCAACUCCUUAUUAUAUUUACCCACUCUUUUACUAUGGAAUGCUUCAAAUCUUUAUUGAAUCCACGAACAUUCCAGAAAAAGCACGUCAUUUUUAAAGAUUUCACCGAGAAGACCUUUUACUCUUCGGCUGAACCUCAUGAGCCUUGGUCUUCUGAACUCUUCUUCCACCUCUUAGUUUUACUACCUUGUUUUUCUCUUCCAGGAUCUCAUCCUCCAACAAAUCUCCUUCCAAUAUAUUUGUAUUCUCCGCUUCCUCAUGUUCCUCACUCUCCACUUCCUGUGAUUCUUCUAGUUCACCCUCCUCAACUUCAUCUAUUGAAAGAACAUAAUACUUUGACGCCGAGAUUUGGACUUCACUAGCAUCUCUCUGCAGAGAAUUUUGCACUCUCCCUAUUUUAUCUGGUGAGACAAGUGACCAACCACUACCUCUCACCUGUUUUUCCCCAGUGCCUACCAUUUCAGCCUUAUUAACUUCUCCAAUAGAAUCAUCCUCCGAAAUGACUACCUCCCGGUUCUGUAACUCUUCCUCCUGUUUACUAUCUUUCUCCCUCAACCCUACUAUAGCUUCACUUCCCACUUUAUCACAAUUCUUCUCACCAGUUUCCUUCCCCUCUAUCUUCUUAUCUCUUUUCUUCCUCACACAAACCUUGUCUGUAUGUCCCCAUUUCUCGCACAAGUUACAUCGAGAAGGUAACCAUGUGUAAUAAAAUUCAGCAGUGAACUCCUUCCCUCCCAUUGUGAAAUCAAUCUCCUUAGGCAACGUCUUCGAAAUAUCAACAUUCACAAACACUUUCGCUUCUUCAUAUUUUGAACAAGACAUUGUCUUUGGGUGAAGACGAACAGGAAACUCCACAGUACUCGUCAUGAAGCUUCGAGCCUCCCAUGAGAACGUGUUCAGAGGAAUCUUUCUUAAAUGCACCCACAUUGGUAUAGCUUCCUCCUCCUGCUUAUCCUCUUCUACCUUAGGCGUCCAUUUCUUCACAACCAUAGGAACUCCAGCUAUAUUCUACAUUGGUAUAGUCUUCAUGGCUUUAGCUUUUGGCUUUUAUUAUUUCCUCUGUUUCUACGAUAGUUUCUUCUUUGCUUUCAACUGACCCCCAUAACCUAUGUUGCUUCCUGCUUAAUUAAAAAUCCAAUCAAUAUCCACCACUAAAUAGUCAAACUCUUACCGAGAUUGUCUUGUUGUGAACCUCAGCAACCAACCCAUGUGCUUGAUACCAUGUUAAAGUUCAUAGAAAGAACUUUAAAAACCUCAGCCUUCUUCUUAAUCGACAUUGAAAGAGCAUGAAAUAGUGUGUUGCAAGAGCUUAGCUUAAUGUAAACUUGAGUAGUAUCUGAGUUGAUGAAAAGCUGCACAUUUCUCACUUUGGUUUCUCUGACAUCCAAAUCAGUUGAGACCAAUAUAAAUUUCAAUGUGGUAUUAGUCAGGUAAUUGAAACCUAGAGAAGAAUAACACAUGAAAGGAGUCCAUCAGAGACAGAUAGGCUAAGAAUAACACAAAUGUUAAGUGUAGGCACAAUUCACACUACUUAACGCUUACACUUUGUAGUUCACCUAAAGGAUAAAAUAGGCUAAGAAGUGCCUCGUUGAAUGUUGUACCAGAUAUUUUCGGAUUAUUAACUGCAUAAAAAAGUUAGACACAUUUCCAAAGAGGAAAAGAACAUUACGAUGUAGUCUCUAUAUAUAUUUACAAAUGUCGUAUAUAGUAAAUACCAAGUAAUAUAGACAAAAACGAAACGGAAAGAAAAAGUUCUUGCGAUUCAUUUGGAGAAACAAACAUUGACACUAAGAGAAAUGGAUCUAAUAAAGUAAGAACCCUUAUCAUACAAUUUUGUUUUCCCUUGAAGUUCGGAAUGUAUAAACGGAUCUACGAAACCUUCAUGGUUAAGCUUCCCGUCCACCUUGAGGCGACGAAGUAGCAGUUCGUAAUAUGGCAUUCAAUCAAGGUUCCCACUACAUUUUCUUUAGUUCAAGCAACCGAUGUUAUUGGAUAACACCAACACAGAUUUUCGAGGUCUCUCAAAAUUGAACCUUUACCAGUUUUUCUUCUAAUAUUUUAUUUCAUCGAAACCAAAAAGGAAAGAAAAAGUUUUUGCAAUUCAUUUGGAGAAACAAACAUAUACAUGAAGACAAAUUCUAAAUAGAAAAAAAAACAAUAUUGGAUAAAAUAAAGGACCUUGAGAGCGUGAGGGGAUCACCAACAUCUGUCAAGCUCUGCAUCUAAGGUGGAUUGUUCUGUGUGGAUCCUAGAUCAGAGACAAUGAAUCAAAUCCAAAAAUCGGUGAAUAAAGUCAGCGGUUAAUCUUGAGAGCGACAACGACGGAUCUGGAAGUUCUGAUGUUAGAGACGACGAAUGGGCUUUAUAAAACAAAAACCAGACAUCGAAUAUAAGCAAAAGCCCAAAAAAAAUUAUAAACCUAAACAAAUAAAAUGGUGAGUUUUGUUAAAGCGGACAGGUGUCGCUCCCAGAACGCACGACUUAGUGACAUGGCAGCACCAGGAGGGAGCAAACAUCUUUUUAUAUAAUGGAUAAAAGAAAGGACCUUGAGAGCGUGAGGGCAUCACCAACAUCUGUCAAGCUCUGCAUCUAAGGUGGAUUGUUCUGUGUGGAUCCUAGAUCAGAGACAAUGAAUCAAAUCCAAAAAUCGGUGAAUAAAGUCAGCGGUUAAUCUUGAGAGCGACAACGACGGAUCCGGAAGUUCCGAUGUUAGAGACGACGAAUGGGCUUUAUAAAACAAAAAGCAGACAUCAAAUAUAAGCAAAAGCCCAAACAAAUUAUAAACCUAAAUAAAUGAAACGGUGAGUUUUGUUAAAGCGGACAGGUGUCGCUCCCAGAACGCACGACUUAGUGACAUGGCAGCACCAGGAGGGAGCAAACAUCUUUUUAUAUAAUUAGAUAAUUAGAUAUGCAGAUUCACUUAUCCACAAUAUGAUGUACACACAUGUUCAAACUCACUUUCCACUUUGUUUUAUCCAUGCUCAGGUGUCCAUUUUGUUUUGUCCACUCUCACUCAAACUUCAAUUUUAGACUAUCUACAAUGAGCUAUUGAAUAAUAAAAAAAAAUCAAUAGUUGAAAAGACAAUGGUCUAUUGAAAAACAAGUUGAAUCAUACUUAUAUUAAAUAAAUUUGAAAGAAUUUAACAAUGUUGAAUCGGUAAAGUGGAGCCAGAGUGAAGCCAUCAAUGACCACCUUUCAUGAAGUUAUUGGCUAUAGAGAUUUCUGAUUUGUUUUUCGUCUGAAUUAAUUGAGAUAAAUUAUUUCAUUAAAUAAUUUUGAAAAAAUAUAUUUUUACACCAAGAUUAUCAUGUUUCAUAUUUUAUAAAUAGAGACUUGCUCCAUUUAAUUUUGAAACAAAAAAAACUUAUCUAUUUCUACUAUAUUUUCUAGUAGACUACAAUAAACUCUUGUUUAUAUAUUUUCCCUUUUUCAGUGAAAUGAAUCCCAAAAAUAACUUUUUAACACCCAAAGUUCUACUAAUCAUCCUUUUAACUAUCCAAAUCCAACAACUAUCAGUUUUAAAAUAUUGGAGAAAUGAAUUGGUGCAUACGACAACGCUAAGUGUAUGCAGCAAGGUAUUAGUCGAAAAUGAUAUAUUGGCGCAUGAGCUAUAUUAGAGUGAUAAGAAUGGGCAUUUUAUUUAAUGUCAGAAUGAUGGCUCGCUGUCUGUGAUCAACCACGUUAUGGUAGUCAAGUAUGAGGAAAUACUGGUUUUGGAAGCAGUGGAUUUAAGAGAGCCCAUGAAAGUGAUGCUCGAAACUCCAGAUCUGUAAAAUUUAGUGCUCGUCCAAUGGGGAUGAAUGCAUAUAAGAAGAAAAAAAGAUAAAAAUAUGGGCUCUUACCAGCCUUGGAUGUGGUCAAUGAAAAUUUCAUUGAAUUCAAACAAAUCAAAGGGCAAUAGUUGUAACACUUGAAAAAAUUAGUCAUGUUGCAAAAGAAUUGAAACCAAAGGUGAAAAGAGGCAACCCAAAGGAAAGAAGAAGCAAACAAAUUAAUGAAAUAAAAGAUUCGGUCUACGAAUAUAAAGAUGUGGUUGAAGUCAAGUGAAAAGGUACAUCUCAGUAACAAGAGCAGAGAAAUGUCCCAACAGUUGAGCCACAAAUUAUUUGGAAAUUAAUUGUAGUCCCAAGUGGAUGUUUAUAUCAUGUCACUUCAUGCUUGUUUGUAUCAUGUCACCUCAUGCUUUAAUAAUGUUUGUUUGCUACUUUUUCUUUUAAUAAUGUAACAUGUGACUUUUGGCUUUUAUUGAGAAAAUCUUAUCCUCCAAUCACUCAACAUGCUUUAAGCAUUGAAUGUGGGGCAUAACAAAAGAAGAAAAAAAAUAACAUGCAUCGGACUUUACAUUUAGUUUUCAUUCAAACUUAAAAACGUAGAAUCAUUAACAAUAAUAAAAUAUAAAAGUACUUGCAUGAAGAAUAAACUUUUUUAUAAAAAUCUUUCCUACAGGAAAUGGUAAAAGAGUGGGUUGUCGACUCUGGGCACCAAUGCAUGUCUAUCUUUUUUUCUUUUUCUCUUUGUCUAUAAAAAUACUACACACUCUUCAUUUUCUUCUUUCAAAGGGCAUUCAUUUCAAAUGACAACUGCAUCUUACUAUUGCGAGAACCUUGCAAGAAACAACCCCCAUCCCCCUUCCGCCCAAUCAAGUACCAGUUGCUUCGCAGCGCGGGUAGCCUCAAAUCAAAAAUCUUCUCUACUCAUAAUUUUUUUUUAUUUUCUUGUUUUAUAUAAAAAUUUAAGAUGAAGUUUUAUAUUAUGUUUAACUGAUUUUUCAUAUUUUUUAAGGUUGUCUCAUAUGCUUCUUUCCACCAAACAAUUCAAAAAUCAGAUACAUUUUUUUUGUUUCUUCAAUAAAUUAUGAAACUUCUGAAUUUUUUAAAAUAAGUUAAAUUUCUAUUCGAUAAUACUCAGUAAAAAUCAACCUGUUAUUUACAAAUAUAUUAUAACAUAUGCAAGCAUUUCAAUCAUCUAUAUAAUUUUAAAUAUUAUCUAUAUAUAUAUAUAUUAGUUUUAUGAAUUUAUGCAUGUUAUUGAUAUAAAAAUAUUUUUUUAUAAUAAAUUUAUAUUUGUAUAGUUAAUUAAUAUUUUACAAAAUGAAAUAGUAAAUAUAAUUUUUAUUCGUUCAUAUAUGUACUAUAACACAUGCAUGUAUUUUAAUCUUAUGUAUAAUUGGUUUUUUAAUUUUUUAUCUUCAGUUUUCUCUUAUAUUAAUAUUUUAUUAAAUAUUAUGGUACAUAAUUAAUUUCUAUAGCGAAUUAUAAAUACUUUAAUAGGUAUAACAUUUGUUUAAAUCUUAUGUAUUGCAAUUUAAUUACAGUCAAUAAUUAUUACCCAUCCGUUUUGAUUUACUUGUUAUUUUAGAAAAUCACGCAGAUUAAGAAAAUUAAUAUUUUUUCUGUUAUACCCUUAUCAAUCAAAUUUAUUUACAAGUUUAGUUAUCUAUUUAAUAUUUUAAAUUAGUUGUAAGAAAUAAUUUUCUUGUCGAAUAUUUUGGCUCUUAGCAUUCUUCACCAAAUUAUCUUUAACUAUUAGUUCAAUGAAUUAAUUAAAUUGACUACAUACUCCUGUUAACAUCAAUAUAUUUAGAGGGAAACUAAAAUUUUUACGUUUAAUUAUACGCAAAAACAAAACAUAGUGGAGGCAAGUAAACAGUUCAAAACUUUUGACAAUCAGUAUAUAAACAAAUCGUGCGAUAACAAAAGUAUCAAUGGCUAAUUCUGGUCAAAACCUUUUUACAUUCAACAAAUAAAAAGCAUUAUUUUGAUUUAAAAAAUCGUGUGAUAACAAAAGUAUCAGUGCCAUUUUCUGUCAAAAAUAAUUACUGAAAAAAUAUAAAUAGGCUUGUUAUCUUUAGAUUAUAAACAGUCUGGGCAAUUUUAACAUACAUGUUGACCACAUUGGAAAAGAUAAGAAAAAUAUUUCAUUGUAGAAAAUGGCGGUUGAGAUGAUGUUAAACGAAGAUUUUUUGAAGUAUAGUUAGUUAAUUUAAAACAUUUUGUUAUUUUAUAUUAAAGUUAGAAUAGUUAUUUUCUUGUAUAAAUCAUAUUGAAAAACGAGAAUGACGCUUAAUUUGUGACAAAAAUCAAACCUAAAACGACAAGUAAAUCGAAAUGAUGGCAGUAAUAUAUAAUCAGAAAAAGAAACAUAUAAGAACGUAAAAUUAUGAAAAAAAAAUUGUAGGGUAUUUUUCAACAAACCAUUGUGAAAUAUAAAAAAUGAGUGGGUAUUGAAUUAUUAUGUAGACGAUAGAAACGAUGACGGGGAAGAGAGAGCAGAUAAUGUUGAGUGUAUGAAAUGUUGAAAUCAUUGUGGAUAAUGUUAGACUAUCUACAAUUGUGGGUAAAUUUACCACCCUCAUUUUUUUUUAUUUUUUAACACUCUAUAUCAUUUUCUCGUUUUUCCACCUAAUUAUUCAACAACAAUUUCAUUUUUAACCAUACAAUAGUUUUGUUUAAUAAAAUUCAACAUCAUACCCCAUAAUUUUUAAUUCAUAAGUUUUUAUUGUUUAUAAUUUAAACUAUAUUAAUAAUUUGAUUAUAAUUAACUUAAAUAAUUAAAGUAUCAAAGUUUUUACUAAUUUUUAUUUAUAUCCUUCACUAAGUUUUGAAUAUCAAUAGUACAACUAAUACUAUUAAAAUUCAACUAUGUUCUAAUUAACACACAAAAAAAAACUGCAAUAUAGUGAAAACAAUUAUUUUCUGGUGUCCAAAUCAAGGAAACCAAGUCUUUAUCUAUAGAAUAUAAAAAGUUAUGAAUUUUGAUAUAACUUAUUUUAAAAAACAUAUUAUUUGAUAUACAAUAAUUGAUCUUAAAAACUAUGGUGAAAUAAAAAUCUAUAAAAUCUAAACAACUACUAAUAUAAUGACAUGUGUACCAAUUCACUCAUUUUAAUUUUUUUUUAAAAACUAAAAAUUCAUUUUUGAUAACUUUUUAUUUAUUUAAGUGUGUCUUAUAGUGAUCAAGAUAACUUUGUGGGUUCUACUGUUGGCUCUUCCAACAGGUUGAAUCCACAUCAUAUUUUUAAGUUUUUCAACAGAUUCAUUGUGGGUAGUUUUACACCAUUAACAAUGAUUACAUGAUUCAACACCCUAUUUUCAUCUUUUUAACAUUCACAUCAUCUUCUCUCUCUCUUCCACACAAUCAUUCAACAACCACUUUAUUUUUGUAACAUCUACCAUAUUUUUGUUUAAUAAAUUCAACACUUUACCCACUAUUUUUUAAUUCAUAUUUUUAUCCUUUACAAUAUACUAACUAUUUAUUAAUAAUUUUUUAUUAUAAUUAAAAUAAAUAUUUAAAAGGACAAAACAAAUUACCAUUUUUUUCAAGUUGGAUAUUCAUAUAUUUUAAAAAAUAUAUUAUUAAAACAAAUGAAAUCAUUAAAAUUACUCAUACCACCAAGAGGUAUUGGCAUAGAUAAUUUAGAAAAAUCAGUUGCUACAAUAAUAUUUCAAAUAGAAAAAAAAUAAGGUGUUUGAGAAAAAUAAAUCAUCAUUGAUCGAUGAUAUGGAAGAUAGUUUGGAAAAAUGAAGACAUGAAGAAAUUUGGUGAAAAACCAUAAUUUGGUAUAUUUUUUGGUUAAUUGAAAAUUUAGUUUUGAAAUUGAUAAUUUUGGGGAUUUGGGUAAUUACAAAGAAAAUUAGAAGAAUUUCAGAUGUUAAAAGAAUUAUUAUCUCGAUCCAUUUAUCAAAAAGAAGAUUAAAAAACCAAAAUAGUUUAUUAGAGUGAAAAAUGACGUUUUAUUUUUUAUACCCAAAUGAAAUGAAAUUGAUCUCUAUUUAUAGAUCAUAACAAAUCACGAGUUUUUGUACAAUAUUUUUUAAAUGUUAUAACACCAAAAUAGUUGAUUAUAGUGAAAAUGACGUUUUAUUUUCUGUACCAAAAUUAAAUGAAAUUGGUCUCCAUUUAUAGAUCAUACAAAAUCACGAGUUUUUGUAUAAUAUCUUUUAAAUAUUUUAGUAUAAAAUAAAUGAGUUCAAAUUAUUGGGUAAUAUUUUUGAAAAAAAAAAGAAUCUGGAAAGCCACUGAGAAUCAGAUAUGUGUCUCUAUCUAAAUACAUCAUGAGUGUUAUACACGCGUCCAACAUUUUUUCUAAUUAAAAUUUAACAAGUGUCAAAGCUGCCCCAGAAAGAAAAAAAUUGGUUGAAUACUUUCAACUUUUAUGAAUCCACGUGUUUUAUUCCCAAAAUCAACACUCUGGUUGCACGUUGUUCAACAGUUGAAUUAAUAACUUAACAUGUUCACUUUGGAUAUUCUUAUAACAUUGGUUUCAUAUCUUGUUCUACAUCGUUGAUUCAUCACUUAUUCAAUAUUAACUUCCUGGUAGUCCAUUAAAUUAAGUCUCUAGUUUUUUUUGCAUAAAAUUUGAUAAAAUUUUGUGUCUAGUUACGACACAAUGUUCACAAAACUUUAUGAAUGUAUUACACAUACGAGCACAUUUAUGUUUUUCUUACAGAUAAAGACACAUUCCACUUAAGAAGCACAUUGUGUUUUAAUCAACGAGAUUUUUGACAUAUUUACCCUUGUUCUUGAAACAGAGUGUAGACGUUCCGUUAAUAAGACUACCUUUGUUUUAUUCCCAAAAUCAACACCCUGGCUGCACGUUGUUCAACAGUUGAAUUAAUAAUUUAACAUGUUCACUUUGGAUAGUCUUAUAACACUGGUUUCAUAUCUUGUUCUACAUCGUUGAUUCAUCACUUAUUCAAUAUUAACUUUCUGAUUAGUCCAUUAAAUUAGGUCUCUAGUUUAUUUUGCAUAAAAUUUGAUAAAAUUUUGUGUCUAGUUACAACACAAUGUUCACAAAACUUUAUGAAUGUAUUAAACAUACGAGCACAUUUGUGUUUUUUUUACAGAUAAAGACACAUUCCACUUAAGAGGCACAUUGUGUUUUAAUCAACGAGAUUUUUGACAUAUUUAUCCUUGUUCUUGAAACAGAGUGUAGACGUUCUGUUAAGAAGAAAUGAGAACAAUAAGUAACUAGUUAUAGCACUUGGGUAUUAAUAUUUUAUAUAAUUAUUAUAUACUACACUGUUUUAUGUAACGGAAAACAAACCAAAUGAAAAAGACAUAGUUUAUCUUUAUUAUUAUCAUUUAUUCUACCUCUUUAUAUUUUGUUUUACUUUAUUUUAAAUUUAAAGAUAUAUAAAAAAUGCUUGAUGUAAUAAAUUAUGUUCUUUAUUCUCUAUAAUUUGUCAUCAACUUUGAUAUUUUUAUUUUAAAUUUAUACAUAAAAUAGUAUGGACUAAAACAUGGACAAAGGAGUUGUGGAUAUGAACAUUCUGAUUGUGUACAUUCCAAAAAUGACUAAAUAGUUUUAUAUGUUAGCAAUUUGAAUAUAUAAAAACAUAAAUUUUUGUUGGAGAAACCAUGUGAAGUGAAUUACGUAUUUUAUGGAAGAGAAAUAUGGUCAUAUAUGUUGUGGAUAAAUAAAGAAUAUGGGUUCAUACAUUAAGAAGACCAUUCUGCAUAUUUAAGAAUUUUGAGGUAAAAGCUUAAAUAAUCAAAAGACAAGGGACCAACAAUGCAAAAAGAUAAAACAGCACCAUUGUUGGUCUCGAGACCUCUGGCUUCUAAUCAACUUGGGCGAGUGAGGCAGGAUGGACUCCGACUCCUUUCACCAACAUGUUAUCUCGGCUAUACUUUUUCGUAUAAACCGCAAAUAAAAACCGAUGUUGUUCUCCGUUAUCUCUUUCUCUCUCUUGUUACAGAUAUGGCUUCUCGCCACUGUUUCUCUCUUUCUCUAGUUUCUCAAUCUUCAACUGAAGCAAUCUGAAAAACCAUAAUAUGAAGAAUACUUGGGUAAAUGAUAUCUUGCAUAUUUACAUUGUCUUAUCCAUUUAUUCAUGUGCAUUUUCAUCAUAUAGAUUAGGAUUUAGCCAUGUCUAGGUUGCAUUUUGCAUACAUAUGUCUCUAUCAGGUAUUUGAGUACCACAUGGAGUUUCUGGAGACAUUUGGGUGCAUUUGGAGCUCAAAGGAGGUGAUUAGAGUGGUCUUUGGACGAGCACUGCCUGAAGCGACUUCUCGGAGCGACGGCAUGAGGUCGCUGUGCACCACAUCCCGGAGCGACUCAUCCAGAGCGACUGCACAAAGUCGCUCGCGUUUUCACAUUGAGGUUGUAGAAAAAUCCCUUGUAGAUUUCAAAAAGAAAGAGUUAAAGUUCUUAGGAUCUAUUGGUGAGAGAUGUGAGUUGGGUUUGACAUUUGGGAAUGAUUGUGUAAUUGUAUGUUUGGGAAAAGGGUAGAAUAAUGGAGAUUGAGCAUUGUAUGCAUGAGUUGGUCCCUUUCUUAGAUAUAUUAUGUGCAAUGUCAAGGCUACUUGUUUUGAGAGUAAACCACCUUAAAGAUCAUAUGUUUUGAACCUCUUGAAUCACUUGAAUAAAAGCCUUCCCUUUCCCAACCAAAUGACUUGGACCAACGGACCAUUUGCAAGAAUUCACCUGAUGUUUUCUGCUUAAUGAAUGUGAGAGUUGGUUGAUUUGAAUGUGUGGAUGCUUGAUGAUGAGUGUAGGGACAAAAGGAGUUGAGAUAGGCCUAGAGAAGCUAGAGUGUAAUAAGAGAGUGUGCUAAUUAUGUUUGCUAGUUGUGUUUCUUUUGGCUAUGAGCUCCCACCUUCAAACCUCUCUCCUUAUGAGUUCUAGAAAGUUCACUUGAGGACAAGUAAAAGAACAAGUUUGGGGGAGUUGAUAUCUUGCAUAUUUACAUUGUCUUAUCCAUUUAUUCAUGUGCAUUUUCAUCAUAUAGAUUAGGAUUUAGCCAUGUCUAGGUUGCAUUUUGCAUACAUAUGUCUCUAUCAGGUAUUUGAGUACCACAUGGAGUUUCUGGAGACAUUUGGGUGCAUUUGGAGCUCAAAGGAGGUGAUUAGAGUGGUCUUUGGACGAGCACUGCCUGGAGCGACUUCUCGGAGCGACGGCAUGAGGUCGCUGUGCACCACAUCCCGGAGCGACUCAUCCAGAGCGACUGCACAAAGUCGCUCGCGUUUUCACAUCCGGAGACACACAUUUUGAUCUCGGAGCGACCUUCCAGAGCGACGUGCUGAAGUCGCUCCCGAAGCUUGGAGCGACCUUACCAGAGCGACAGGGAGAAGUCGCUCGCCAUUUUGGUUCUCGGAAACACGAAAUCGCUCUCGGAGCGACCUCUCGCAGCGACCCAGCGAGGUCGCUCCCGAAGCCUAGAGCGACGUGCUGGAGCGACUUGCCGAGGUCGCUGCGCGUCGCCUAUCUGCUCGAAUUAAUGUUUUCUCAAGGGCCUUUUUGUCAUUUUAUUAUGCACGUUUUUUAUUCUGAAAACCUAUGUUUUAAUACUCUGUAAGCCACCAAGAGGGGAUUAUCUUUGUUCUUAGAAAAACCACCAAAAACCUUUGGAAAGUCAUCUCUUUGAAUCAAUUGAUCAGUUUAUUAUUGAGAAUUCUGUGUUCUUAUCUAUUUUUCCUGUGUUUCUCUACAUGAUUAAUCUGAAAUCCAACAUGGGUUUAAGAGGAAUCAUGGAGAUUAGUGAGUAAUCCCUUUUGAAUUCAUGGGUUAGGGAGAUUGAGGGUGAUUAGGUUAGAACUAGGAUGUUUUAGUGUAGAUCAUUCAUAUUUCCUUGCUAGUUGAGUGAGCAUAAUGCAUCUUCUGAGUUGGCCACUCAGUAGUUGAAUCUUAGGCAUUUCCCCCCGAAAGGUGUUCGAGGAAAUGCCCGAGACAACUCUUUUUAGCUUUUAGCAUACUUUGCCAAAGACAUUUGUUGUUAGAGGUGCUAAGAUAGCCAUUGGACUUGCUGGUUAUGAUUGCUUUCAUAUUAUUCAACCAAAGACAUUUGAUGUUUGAAUUGUGUUAAGUAAAUGAACAUUCAUCUAGACAUAGAGUUUGUUUAGGAUUGUGUCCAAGCUUAAGGUUAAUAGAUUGAUUGAUCGUUUGCCAUCUUUAGUUCGAAACUUGAUCACCCGAGGUCUAAUCCCUAUAUCCAUGAGUUCUCUUUUCCAAUAGUUAAGAAAGUAUCAUUUAGUUAUUUCUUUUAAUUAGUCAUAGUUUAAAAACCCAUCUAAAUCAUUGAUUGCACUUAGAUUAAGUGAUUACUUGCAUUCUCGGUGCUUUGAUAUCUCUCAGAACUGGUUCGACAAUCAUUUAUACUACAGCAUUUGUCUUAGGAGCCUUGAAAACUCCUAACAUCAAAUUGGCGCCGUUGCCAAAUUCUGAGUAGAUUUAAACAUUGAGAUUUAGUCAAUUGCUUGAGACUAAGUCAUUUUUAUUUUCUUUUGUUACUGACUCUUCUUCACCUCCCUUUAAUCUACAGGUGUAUGAACUUGCGGAGCAGGGGUCCAUCAAACCUAGUUCCAAGAGCAGCAGACAUCAGAGCUUUAGAGAGAGAGUGUGCUAAAAGAGAAGAGAAGAAGAACAUCAGGCUCAAUUGCAGAGACUGAACACUGACAUGGGAGACGUUCAUCAAGAAGAUGCAGGCGUCAAUGGCGCUAACAACAAUGGUCCACCUAACCAACAGCGAGCAGCUCGACCCAUUGGCACUUACGACCGUCCAAACAUUCAUGGUCAUAGAUUGGGAAUCCGAGCACCCGCUGUGGCAGCCAACAACUUUGAGAUCAAGUCAGGACUCCUCAACGUGAUUGAGAACAACAAGUAUCAUGGCUUGGCUCUAGAGGAUCCAUUUGAUCACUUGGACAGGUUCGACAGCUACUGUGGGUUGUCAAAAACCAAUGGUGUGUCCGAAGAUGCUUUAAAGCUCAAGCUAUUCCCUUUCUCUUUGGGGGAUAAGGCACGUCAGUGGGAGAAGUCUCUACCCAGCGACUCCAUUACCACUUGGGAUGACUGCAAGAAAGCAUUCUUGGAGAAGUUCUUCUCUACUUCAAGAACUGCUAAGCUGAGAAACGAGAUCUCCAGCUUUCAACAGAAGGGCUUGGAAGGUUUCAGUGAAGCCUGGGAGAGAUUCAAGGGCUACCAAGCUCAAUGCCCACACCAUGGUUUCUCUAAGGAGAGCUUGCUGAGCACAUUCUACCGUGGUGCUCUCCCUAAGUACAGGGCCAGACUGGAUACAGCUAGUAAUGGGUUCUUCUUGGGGAGAACUGAGGAGGAUGCAGAGGAGCUGGUUGACAACAUGGUUAAGAGUGAUGCAGUCUACAGUGGAGACCACGACAGAGGCAGUAGAACUGAUGAUAAGCAGACGAGGAAGGAAUUGAAGGCUCUACAGGAUAAGAUAGACAUCCUCAUUGCUGAUAAAGCUACCCAAGAGCAGCUGCACUUUGUUGGCAACCCAAGCCAAGAGACACCAGUUGUUGUCCAUGAAGUUGAGGGUUUGGAAGGUCAGGAAGAGCUGUGUUUCAUCAACAACAAUGGUAGCUGGUACAAGAAAGAACCCAACUUUCAGUACAACAACUACCAACAGAAAUCCUAUUCCAACAACCAACAGAGUGGUUAUCAGCCUCGGAACAAUCAGCAAGGCAGCUAUCAACCUCAGCAAAACCCUCCUCCUGGAUUCAACAACAAGGGCAACCAUUCUUCCCAACAACAAUCUAAUCCCUCUACCUCCACUCCUCAAGUCAGCAGCACUGAUGCUCUACUGAAACAAAUCCUGGAGUCUCAAACAAGAAGUGAGAAGCAUGUUGGCUAUGAGUUGAAGAAUCUUCACUCAAAGAUUGAUGGGAGCUACAAUGAGCUCAACAACAAGUUCAGAGCUUUGGAGAACCAGUUUGCUGCCAUGAACACUCAACAAAAUCGCCAACAAGGUUCUCUACCUGGAAAAUCUGAGCAAAACCCCAAGGAAACCAUGAAAGCUAUCACUCUCAGGAGUGGUAAGGAGUUACCUCAGAGAACUCUCACCAAGGAUGCUGAGAAACAAAGUGAGGGGGUUGCCAUCACCAUAGAUGAUGAAGUGGUGAUUGUUGAUGAGAAGAUCAAUGACGAGAUCUUGGAAAAGAUAGUGGAAGCAAAAGGAAAAGGAAAGGUUGGAGAAGAGAAGAAAACAGUUAAAGAUGGUGAAGUUGUCACUCCUGCAAGUGAAAACUCUUUUGUUCCUCCUGCCUAUGAACCCAAGCUUCCAUUCCCAGGUCGAUUCAAGAGGCAGCUGCUAGAGAAGUACAAAGCUUUGUUUGACAAGCAAAUGAGUGAAGUCCAGGUCACAAUGCCCAUUAUUGACGCUUUCAUGCUGAUCCCUCAGUACAGCAAGUUCCUCAAAGAUGCUGUAGCUGCAAAGAAGAAAGAGAUGGAGGGCAUGGUGAUUCUCACUCAUGAGUGCAGUGCUAUCAUUCAGAGACUGGUCAUUCCAAAGAAGCUAGAAGAUCCAGGAUGCUUCACAUUACCUUGUGCUCUUGGACCUAUGGUAUUUGAUAGAUGUCUCUGCGAUUUGGGAGCUAGUGUCAGCUUGAUGCCCCUAUCUGUUGCUAAGAAGCUGGGUUUCACUCAGUACAAGAAGUGUAGACUUUCUCUGGUAUUGGCUGAUCGUUCAGUGAAGUACCCUGUGGGUAUCUUAGAGGACCUCCCAGUGAUGGUUGGAAAUUAUGAGAUCCCUACAGACUUUGUGGUGCUUGAAAUGGGUGAAGAAGCUCAAGAUCCUUUAAUCCUUGGAAGACCUUUCUUAGCCACAGCAGGAGCUAUUGUUAAUGUUAAAGAAGGCAAGAUUGAUCUCCAUCUGGGUAAAGGGCACGUUCUGCAUUUCGACAUCAAGGAAGUAAUGAGGAGGCCAACAGUUCAAGGACAAGUGUUCUACAUCGAAGAGAUGGAUGCCCUUGCUGAUGAACUCCUUGAAGAGUUGUCACUAGAGGACCCUCUACAGCAUGCUUUAACUGUAGAGAAGGAGACUGAGGUGAUUGAGAACCUGGAGAGUACUGCCUAUGGGAUGAUGCUGGAUUCACACCAGGCGUUUUUCAGUAAGGACCAGUACGAGGAGCUUCCACAGAUGGUUCACCAACAAGUCUCAGUCACUCAACAAGAGGACAACCAGCAGGAUGACUGGAGUGAACUUAAGGCACCUAAAGUGGAGCUUAAACCUCUUCCCCAUGGUGUAAGGUAUGCAUUCCUUGGUCCUAAUGAAACUUACCCUGUCAUUGUGAGUAGUGAACUUACUGAAAAUGAGCUAUCUGAACUUUUGAAAACACUUAAAAGAUUUAGAAAGGCAAUAGGUUACUCACUAGAUGACAUCAAGGGGAUAUCACCCUCUUUGUGCAUGCAUAGGAUACAUCUUGAGGAUGAAUCAAUGACUUCUAUCGAGCAUCAAAGAAGGUUAAAUCCUAACCUGAAGGAUGUUGUAAAGAAAGAGAUUCUUAAACUCCUAGAUGCUGGUGUUAUUUACCCUAUCUCAGAUUCUAAAUGGGUAUCACCUGUGCAUGUUGUACCAAAGAAAGGUGGUAUCACUGUGAUCAAGAAUGACAAGGAUGAAUUGAUACCAACAAGAACCAUCACAGGUCAUAGAAUGUGCAUUGAUUACCGAAAACUAAACUCUGCAUCUAGAAAGGAUCAUUUUCCACUACCAUUUAUUGAUCAGAUGCUUGAGAGACUUGCAAAUCACCCAUUCUAUUGUUUCCUUGAUGGGUACUCAGGAUUUUUCCAAAUCCCCAUACAUCCCAAUGAUCAAGAGAAAACGACAUUCACAUGUCCCUAUGGUACCUUUGCAUAUCGAAGAAUGCCAUUUGGACUAUGUAAUGCUCCAGCCACCUUUCAAAGGUGCAUGAUGUCAAUUUUCUCUGAUCUGAUUGAGGAUGUUGUGGAGGUAUUCAUGGAUGAUUUCUCUGUCUACGGAUCUUCGUUUUCUGCUUGUUUGUCAAAUUUGUGCAGGGUCCUACAGAGAUGUGAAGACACCAACCUUGUGCUGAAUUGGGAGAAGUGUCACUUCAUGGUCAAGGAAGGGAUUGUGCUAGGACACAAGAUUUCAGAGAAGGGGAUUGAGGUGGAUAAAGCCAAAAUCGAUGUUAUGGUUGGUCUGCCUCCACCAAAGACAGUGAAAGACAUCCGGAGUUUUCUUGGUCAUGCUGGAUUCUACAGGAGGUUCAUCAAGGAUUUCUCCAUGAUCACUAGACCUUUGACCAGACUGCUGUGCAAGGAAGCUACCUUCAGUUUUGAUGUAGAAUGUCUACAAGCUUUCAAGAAGCUGAAAGGUGAACUCGUUAGUGCCCCAAUUGUCCAGCCACCUGAUUGGGAUCUCCCUUUUGAGAUCAUGUGUGACGCCAGUGACUAUGCUGUGGGAGCUGUUCUGGGGCAGAAGAAAGAUGGCAAAACCCAUGUGAUCUAUUAUGCCAGCCAAACCCUCAAUGAUGCCCAGAUGAAGUAUGCCACAACAGAGAAGGAGAUGCUGGCAAUUGUUUUUGCCUUUGAGAAGUUCAGGAGCUACUUGGUUGGGUCUAAAGUCAUUGUCUACACAGAUCAUGCCGCCUUGAGACACCUUUUGGCCAAGAAGGAUGCAAAACCCAGGCUUUUGAGGUGGAUCCUUUUGCUCCAAGAGUUUGAUAUGGAGAUCAAGGACAAACCUGGAGUUGAGAAUGGAGUAGCUGAUCAUUUGUCCAGGUUGAGGGUAGAGUCUGGUAUCCCUAUUGACGAAGGACUUCCUGAGGAGCAGAUCAUGGCUAUCGAAGCAGUGAUAGCAGUUUGUGAGACUGGUAGGAAGCUGGAAGAAGUCAAAGCAACAGAGGAGAAGGAACCUUGGUAUGCUGAUUUGGUGAACUACCUAGCCACAGGAAGAGAACCUUUGAAUCUUGUAGGGUAUGCCAAGAAGAAGUUCUACAAGGAUGUGAAAAGAUAUUACUGGGACGAACCCUACCUCUACAUUCUCUGCAAAGAUCAGCUUUAUAGGAGAGUGGUUGCAAAUGAGGAGAUUGAUGGGAUCCUUGCACAGUGUCAUGGAUCAUCCUAUGGAGGUCACUUUGCCACCUUCAAGACAGUUGCAAAAGUAUUACAAGCUGGAUUCUGGUGGCCACACAUGUUCAAGGAUACACAAGACUUUGUUUCGAAGUGUGAUUCUUGCCAAAGAAGAGGAAACAUCACCAAGAGGAAUGAGAUGCCUCAAAAUCCAAUCCUUGAAGUUGAAGUGUUUGAUGUCUGGGGUAUUGACUUCAUGGGACCAUUUCCAUCAUCUUUUGGCAACAAAUAUAUCCUUGUGGCUGUUGAUUAUGUCUCCAAAUGGGUGGAAGCCAUUGCAAGCCCCACCAAUGAUGCUAGAGUUGUAAUCAAGAUGUUCAAGAGCAUCAUCUUCCCAAGGUUUGGAGUUCCAAGAGUUGUAAUCAGUGAUGGAGGUUCCCACUUCAUUAACAAACUGCUUGAGGGACUUCUCAAGAAGAACGGUGUGAAGCACAAGGUGGCAACUCCUUAUCAUCCCCAAACAAGUGGCCAAGUUGAGAUUUCUAACAGGGAGAUCAAAUCUAUCCUGGAGAAGAUUGUGGGGAUUACAAGGAAGGAUUGGUCUAAUAAGCUUGACGAUGCACUUUGGGCUUAUAGGACAGCGUACAAGACACCACUGGGUACCACACCUUUCAACCUAGUGUAUGGGAAAGCUUGCCAUUUGCCAGUGGAGCUUGAGUACAAGGCACUAUGGGCAAUAAAGUUGCUGAACUUUGACAUCAAGAGUGCCAAGGAGAAAAGGCUCUUUCAGCUACAUGAGCUUGAUGAGAUAAGAUUGGAUGCUUUCGAGAACUCAAGAAUCUACAAGGAGAAGACUAAGGCUUUCCAUGACAAGAACAUCCUGAAGAGAGAGUUUAAAGAAGGAGACCAAGUUCUUCUCUACAACUCUAGGCUGAAGUUGUUUCCAGGAAAGCUUAAGUCAAGGUGGUCCGGUCCUUUCAAGGUCAAGGAGGUUAGACCAUAUGGAGCAAUAGUUUUGUGGAGCACUGAUGGAAGAGACUUCACAGUCAAUGGACAAAGGGUUAAGCUCUACAUGGCUACUGCACCAGAGGAAGAUGGGGUUUCAACUCCACUGUCUGAUCCUACCCCGGCCUAAUCUAAAAGGAGGCAAAGUCAAGCUCGGGACUUAAAACAAGCUCACUUGGGAGGAAGUCCCAUGCGUAUCCUUGUACAUAUUGCAUUGGUAUUUCCAUUUUUCAUCUUAUUGCAUAAAAAAAAAAAAGAGAGAGAAGUUGUGUGCAGGUGCUUGAUCGGUUCAUUUUGAGCAGGAGUCGUGCGUGGGAGCGAGGUCUCACAGCGACACCUCAAGGUCGCUCCAGCUGGGAGCGAGGUUUCGAGAGCGACACUCCAUGGUCGCUCGCGUUUUCGUCGUCGGAUCAAGAAAAAAUCGCCUCAGAGCGAGGUCUCGGAGCGAGGCCGAAGGGUCGCUCCAGCUGGGAGCGACAUUAUGGGAGCGACACCUCGGAGUCGCUCGCGUUUUCGACGAAACGGAGCUCAAAAACUGACCCGGAGCGACGUCCUAGAGCGACACCUUGAAGUCGCUCCAGCCCAGAGCGAGGUUUCUAGAGCGACACUUCAAGGUCGCUCGCGGUUUUGUCGAAACACGACGCGAGGAAACGACUCGGGAGCGACCUCUCCCAGCGACACCCUCACGUCGCUCCCGAACCGGUCCAGGUAAGUUUCCUAACUCUAAACCCCGGUUUAAUUCAAGUAAACCGACCCUAACCACCCUAAACCGAACCGGACGACCCUAAACCUACCCCAACCCCCGCGACUCCUAUCUCUCUCACUCUCCCCUCCUCUCACAAACUCACAAACUCUCUCAAACUCACCCACACCAAAAAUCCCAAAACCUUCUCAAUUCUCACCCAAAUCAACUAGUUCUUGUUUCUAAACCAAGCUUUCGCCCCUGUAGCCUAUUCCUCACCACCCAUUCACCAUUUCCUUUCAUCCAGAGCAAGGUAUUGAGUUUUUAAAUUCAAAUUCGUAGGUCCAUGAACCCUAGAAUUUGAAAGUCGAAAUUUGGUCACUUUCUUGCUAGAUUGUGGUGAAAUAGACUAGGGAAAGUUUAUCUAUCAAGUUGGGUUGUUGAAUUAAUGGUGAAAUUGAGUUUAAUUUGCACUUUGGCAAAAUUAGGGUUCAUGGAAUUAGGGAUUUUCGAAUUUGACCUUAAUUGGGUGAGUUUGUGGGUGAACUAGAUGUGUUAAGGUGUUACAAGAGUGAGAAUUGUUGCAUUGUGUUGAACUUGAGUUUAAAUUGAUAAUUCAUUUGUUAAGUUCACUUUUGCAAUUUUCUCUUGCAAAAUCCUGUUUUUCUUUACUUCCAACUACUUAUCCCUUUUCAAGUUUUUACUUCUUCAGGUGAAAAUGGUUAAGAAGACAAAGGGAAAGUUGGAAGCUGAGAAGCAAGAAGCUGAAAGAACAGAGUUUGCAUUAAGAGGAAAAGCUUUAUCCUGCGAGCCAACUGGGUCAGGGACGCAGAGAACCGUUCGACAGCAGACUUUGGCUGCAAGGAAAUCGCAAGAACAAGAGAAGAGGGCUGGGAAAAGUGUAGCAGUUCCCACUCAUGAGGAGAGUGAAACUGAGAGUGCUGAUGAGCAGGCACCUACGAAGAAAGCCAAGAUGUCCAAAGGAAAAGGGGUUGCUGUUGAUCGAGACAGGGCAAAAACUCCAUCUGUGGAGGAGCUGUAUGAUCACUUGAAGAAUGGGUCACUUGGGCUCCAACCAGGUUCGCCGACCUCGAUUUGCUGAAGGAGUUGGGCCUAGAAUCCGAUAUUGAGGCGAUGCUGGGACAUUUGAAGAUGCCAAAACUCCUCACCAUGGCUUAUCCUUUCUACAAGGAUGUCACUUGUCAGUUCCUAUCCUCUCUUGUGGUCACUUACCACGACACGGCGCAUGUGAGGCAAGGAUGGGGAAAAAUCACGUUCAAGGUCAAUGGAAGGGAAUACAACAUGAACUUCAAGGACAUUGGGAGGGUCAUGGGGUUCCAAGACCUAGAAGACCACUCACUUCCCAAGUGUGAGAACCUCCCCACAGAGCUUUGGAAGUUGAUCACUGGAAACAGGCACUCUACCGGGGCUGACAAGAACUCACACAUCCGACACCCGUCUGUACGCUACCUCCACAGAUUGCUAGUCCAUGCUUUCUACCCACGGAAGCAAGCUGGUAAUGUUACUGAGGAAGACAUGCGACUGCUCUGUCCGGCUAUCCGUCCUUACGCUCAACCUGGAGUGUUACCCCUUCCCAGCACUGAUAUCUAUGCUACCUUUGGGAUGGUCAGUUUCUUUGUGGGCCGUCUCGAACACUACAGAGACUGGGCGUGGUACACCACUGAUUCGCGCCCAAAGAUGGGGAUAGGCGGAAUGAUCACACCACUGCUCCAAUUUCUGAAUGUUCCCUUGGGAAAGGACGCAGCGGGGCCUAGGUUCAUUGAUGGCACCUACUUGAGGAUUGCCACCUAUUUCAGUGGGAUGUAUGGGAAGGACUACGUCUACCACUACUACUUGCAGGGCAAGCCAGUCGAGGUGGUUCUUCCAAACCGGAACCUGACGAGUUUAGAGAUACCAGGAGCUGUCAGCUUCAACAUUCCCCAGGAGUACUUUCUCGGAGAACACGGGCCUCUCGAUCCAAUUCAAGCAGCUUCAUCAAGGAGAAGGAGUGUCCCUACGCAACCUGACCCGCCUGUUGCAGACACGUCUGAGCAUAUCUAUGGACCUCCGCGCUACUACUUCAAGCCCCAUGACGGAGUCCUUCCCCCUGGAGCUCUCCGUGAUGCUCAUGACCACAUUGGUCGUCUCCAGAGGUGGAACAAAGCUCAGGACAGAACGAUAGAAAAGCUGAAGGAUAAGUGCAAGGCGCUCAGCAAGACUGUGAAGAAGCAGGCAAAGACUUCAGCCAAGUUCAUGAAGAAAGUAGCUGAUGUCUUAACUAGGGGAGGAAUAGCUGGAUGUAGCUCAGCCGAUUUCGCUUUCGCGAACACCUCAAACCCCCAGCCCCCACCCCCGCCUGAUGCUCUUGGCUUCCCCCUCACUGCUGCGCAGCUUCAGCGUAAGUGGAGGAACCCACCCACUCAACCUUCCACUUCCGGCAACAAAUCCCCAUCCCUCGCUUCUUCUGACAGUGAGCACGAGAUUGACGAGGUUGAGAGCCAGCCAUGGUAUGGAGGCUCCGGUUCAGCAUCCGGUGGUUACUACACCACCUUCCCUCCUGACGACGACGAUGCUGGGGCAUCUGCCCCCACCUAUUAUCCAUAGGAGGUACUUCUUUCUCUCCCUUGUAUAUACCAUCUCAUUUUUUUUUUUUUGCAUAUUAGUUUUCUUCUCGGUAUCUCCUUCUUUCUUUGACAACACAGAGACUGUGUAACUCAAGUUUGGGGGAGGUACCAAGCAUUUGAUCACGUUUGCUUUGAUUGUGUUUCAUUUGAGUCAUGCAUUGCACACCUAUUUGCAUAAAAAAAAAAAAAAAAAAGAUUUUUCAUUUAGUUUGCAUCAUUUGCACCAUUAGGAGAGUCUAGAGCAUAUAGGGUGCAUUCACUUGCAUUGGGAGCAAUGAUUUUAAAUGCCUUGUAAAGAACACUACGUUGCACCAUUGAGUAGCCAUGCACCUCUCGAAAAGACUUGUAUGUUUCGAGCCUUGAAAACUCUUCUUGAAACUUGUUGAUUGCUGAAACUCAGUCUUUGAAGCCAACUACAACCUUAUUAGAAAUGAAUGAACUUAAUGCUUCUUGCUUAGGGUCCCUUGUGUACUGAGUCAUGGCUAUACACACUGGAGUUGUCACAUCUUUUAUGCCAAUCUUUUUGACAAACUCUAGUGGUAGACCACUCCCAAAACCUUUCCUUCCUUUUAAGCUUUCAUUGUUUGAUGAGUGAGGCCUUCUUCGGAAAGUCUUACAUGCGCAUAAUGUUGAGAGUAUCGGGAACGACAAUGCUUGAUCUUCAUUUUUGCUAGAUUGGACACUCUUUUGUCUAGCUAUAGGUGGGAGGGUGAGUGUUGUGAUCAUGAUUUGGGAGAAAUGAAAAAUAAAAAGGAUAGACUCUUUGUGCUUAAGUGAAUUGAUUUUCUGGGAUAAGUAGAGAACCUCUAGCUCUAGUUUCGAAAAGUCUUGGCCCCCAACCUAAAAAAAAAAAAAAAAAAAAAAAAAAAAAAAAAAAAAAAAAAAAAAAAAAAAAAAAAAAAAAAAAAAAAAAAAAAGGGGGCUAGCAAAGUUGUUAGGAGCUAAGAAAUGUUUUGAGGUUGUAGAAAAAUCCCUUGUAGAUUUCAAAAAGAAAGAGUUAAAGUUCUUAGGAUCUAUUGGUGAGAGAUGUGAGUUGGGUUUGACAUUUGGGAAUGAUUGUGUAAUUGUAUGUUUGGGAAAAGGGUAGAACAAUGGAGAUUGAGCAUUGUAUGCAUGAGUUGGUCCCUUUCUUAGAUAUAUUAUGUGCAAUGUCAAGGCUACUUGUUUUGAGAGUAAACCACCUUAAAGAUCAUAUGUUUUGAACCUCUUGAAUCACUUGAAUAAAAGCCUUCCCUUACCCAACCAAAUGACUUGGACCAACGGACCAUUUGCAAGAAUUCAC
Molecule: long non-coding RNA, 71465 nt
Filed under: Brassica rapa (field mustard)
Lineage: Eukaryota; Viridiplantae; Streptophyta; Magnoliopsida; Brassicales; Brassicaceae
Description: long non-coding RNA (BRAP_LNC005704)
Source: RNAcentral